This 76151-nucleotide long non-coding RNA is filed under the name Oryza sativa (Asian cultivated rice). Its description in RNAcentral is "long non-coding RNA (OSAT_LNC000751)". The stretch from base 59391 to 59594 matches the Rfam family "MIR812 microRNA precursor family". Lineage: Eukaryota; Viridiplantae; Streptophyta; Magnoliopsida; Poales; Poaceae. The record is from RNAcentral.
CCUCCAUCCACCCUAUUUUAGCAUGCCCACAAAUUAAACUACAGAUUAACAAAGAGAGAGAGAAAUAAUCCUGUAAUAUUCUAGAAACUGAUCUUCACUCAAUCUCUACCCAUACUGCUCACCCUAACCUUGAUUCCAUCGGUCUCCCUACCAUUGAUUCCAUCGGUCUAGGCCCACUAGAAAGCCCCUCUGUCUCGCUCCACCCUUGUCCACUUUUCUUUUCCCUCCUCCUCAGCCCAGAACACCGAGAGAGUGAGAGAGAGAGAGGGAAGAAGGGACACCGCAGAGCGGCAGAGCGCCGACGACGCGUGGGCAUGAGGUGUCUUCGACCGAGCGCUUCACCUUGCUGUAACAUCCCGGCCUAGGGCUUAAUAGAAUUAAUAGAAUACUCAUAUCAACAAGUUGCAACUUCUUUUCCGGAAGCUAAUCUCCAAAGAACUCCGGGGUUAAGUGUGCUUGGCCUGGAGCAAUUUGGGAUGGGUGACCGACCGGGAAAUUCUUUCCGGGUGCACACGAGUGAGGACAAGUGUGCAGAAAAGACAUGUGUUGGUCUGUGAGGGCAGUCUAUAACCUAUGAAAGCUAUCAGAUGUAAGCGGGCCUGGCCUGGGGGAAGGCGGGACGUGACACUUGCCCUCUACCACCUCCAGCUUGGUCGCCUCACCUCAUUCAUCACCUCGGCAUCCUCUUCAAAAUGCCCCAAUAAGCGCCAAGGUUGGUAGAGCAAGCUAGGAGAUCAAUUCCAUUUUCCCCAACUCUAGCCGCCGAGCACCACCGAGAUCAAUUCCAUUUUCCCCAACUCUAGCCGCCGAGCACCACCGCCAAAUCCUCCUUCUCCGGUGAGUCACCAUGUGAUUCCGUGCAGGUGUCAUCCCUAGAACCUCAGUAGCUUCACGUGCCCAUCCUUUUCAUAGUUGGGAAGCCGGAUGAAGCCAUUAUCAUCGUCUGGCCUAUUCGGCUGCCGCCGGGCCAUUACACACAUUGUCACCACCAUCAGAGCCCCGCCAGACCUCGUGCACCUAAACCGAGCCCUAGCACCACAUGCACCGUGACCCCGAUCAUGGGGAGGAGGCAGCGAUGGUGAUGGGGAAGUGGUUUCGCGGCGGCGAUGGAAGCGAGAAGGUCGGCAGGCGGCGCUGGAUGCGUUCUGGUUUCUGGGAUGUGGUGGAUGUAUUUUUUUCUCUUUUUUUUAUUCACGUGCUCACUGAUUCUUGUACUCCCUCCGUAUCACAAUUAGAAGAUGUUUUGCGUGGCCGUCGUACUUUCACGUUUAGAUGAUGUUCCUAGCCACACGUACAAAAGCCGACGAAAUUGCCCCUGCCUCCUCGAUCUCAACCCCACGCCGGCGCUGUAUUAACUUCGCACUCUUCGGUUCCACCACGCGCUUUUCCCUCGCUCAUCCUUCUUAUUCACCACAAACGCCACCGCCCAGAAACACCGCUGCCCCAGAAACACCGUCGCAGAGGAGGAGCUCGCGCCGGACUCCAUGGACGCGCCAGAGUCGGAGCUCGUGCCAGACUCCUUCACGCUGGAGUUGCAGGAGCUCGCGCCGGACUCCAUGGACGCGCCGGAGUCGGAGCUCGUGCUGGACUCCUUCACGCCAGAUUUGCAGGAGCUCGCGCCAGAUUCCGUGGAAGCGCCGGAGUCAGAGCUCGUGCCGGACUCCUUUGCACCGGAGUUGCAGGAGCUCGCACCGGAAUCGGAGAGUAGCCUUGGCUUCAUCUAGCAAAGAUGGUUCGCAAGGGAGAGAAGUUGGCAGCCGAUCUUCUCUUUCUAAUGUUUCUUUUUGCAUGUGUGGAAUCUUAAAAUUGUUGCUUCCUUUCACCUUCAUAGCUUCCAUCAAAACACUUUGUAGUGUUACAAACAUUCGGUUUGCUUUGUGUGCCGAAUACUCCAUGAAUGCCUACAAAAUAAGUGUGCAAGAAAUGAGUCAAUGAGCAAAUUUGUUGUUGAAGAAUCAGUGUACCUUGUGUGAACAAUUUGAUCAAAUUACCUCUUCCACUGUUGGAACUAGAGCUUCUAUUGUUUUUGCAUUCUUAUUGUAUUGAAUUGCUUGAAUAGCUCGAAAAAAAUCCAAGUCAAGAAUGUUGAAAUCCGGAGAAUUUGGUGUUUGGCAAAUUAGGCGAAUAUCAAAUCCUUCUUGCUUAGCAUGCUCACAGAAAUCCGAAUCAUCCAAGUUUAGAUGGGAAGGUGCAUUAUCCUGUUGAAUGAAGAUUGGUUUGCCCACAUCUUCUUUUGGCCAUUUGGCUCGAAUAGCGGGCAAGACUUUGUUGAUCAUGAAAUCUCUAAUCACUUCUCUGGUGAUCGAAGUUAUGGGCUUCAAAACCAAGUCUCCACGGACACGGCCGGUUCUCACAUUGCCUCUCAUAGCCGGUUGAUAAGUAACAAGUGGAAAACAACUAAUCCUACCAUCAAAAAUGCAAUUCCCAUCCCUAAACCUUGGCCGAGCACAAACACACAAGAACAUGAGCCUAGGGAUGUAAUUCUUGUUCUUACAAGUCCGAUGGGGAUCAUCUUGUUCAGGUAGCAAAUAAUAUUUUUCAGAUUUUUGAGAGAGGUAGAACCAUUUUUCAUCAAUGAGCACAAAGUCAAAAAAAUCCUUAAACCUUGGACCACCAUGCAAAUCCCUCUUAAUCAUGUCAACACACCACUUCAACCUAGACUUUUUAUUAGCUUCAGUGAGAUAUGGUUUGAUGCUACUAGAGUGGCGCCUAAGGAAACCUUUUCUCAAAUACCUUUGAAUCUUUGAUUUGCUCAUGUUAAGUUUGGCAGACACAUCCUCUAUGGUCGUUCUCUCUUUUAGAGGAAUGCUGCGCAAUGCUUCUAAAUCAACAGGGAUUUUCUUACGACCAACUCUACCCUUCUUUAGACUAGAAACCACAACAGGAAUAGAGUUUGCAAGUUGUAUUUUACCUCGCUUCCAUAAACGUUGAACUGACUGAAUUCCUAAACCAAAUUGAGCAGCAACAAUGCUCGUAUCUUUUUUGCCUAGUUUCCCAUUCUUGCUUCUUGCCAACAAAGUUCGGAAAACUAGUUUUCCGAGUUCAUCUGACAUCUCUUUCCUUCAGUGGUUCACUUGAACCGGAGGCUCAACAGCAUGUUCUAAAUGGAAAAAAAAACACUACCGUGCAUGUGUGUUCGGAUGUGGACUUCUCCUUUUCUCAAUCUUUCGUCUGCUGCGUCAACUGUGGACCGGUUGAACGCGAAAACUCUGGUGGAUUCUACCAUUGACAAGGACUUCACAUAUGGUUACUUCAUAUCCAAUGGCACCAGUUUUAUUCCUUCUCUAUCCAACGGUCCCAAAUUUCCUGGUGACGUGGCACAAUGUGGUAGUGAAAAACUUUACUUUUUUCACUACUUUAGAUAAGGGCAAAAACAAAAACCCUAAAAAACAUGGCAAAAUCAAUAUUAAACAUCGAUGUAGGGGUAAGAACGAAAUUGCCCCCAAUUAAUUUUGGCUUGGUAUUUCUCCCGUAUAGUGUGAGCGCUCCCAAUAGCAAAUACAUGCGUGACAAUUUUUACAAUAUAUGCAGUACAAACUCAACUUGGGUGGAACUUCUCUAACCGCUUCUGUACCGCCGGUCUGACCGGUGUCCGGUCUAACCUAAGUUUGACUGCUUCUGUACCGCCGGUCUGACCGGUGUCCGGUUUGACUGGAGUCUUACCGCUUCUGUACCGCUGGUCUGACCGGUGUCCGGUCUGACCGCCAAUUAGUAGCGGUCGGACCGGCAGUACCUCGGCGGUCGGACCGGCAGUACCUCGGCGGUCAGACCGGCUUCAGACAUAUUUUUUUUCUAAAAAUUCUCAAAUUAUUUUUGCACUCGGAUAUAUGCCUAUUCGAUCUACUUGUCGUGUCUUAGUACUGGAUUCCUAAAUUUUUAUUAUCUAACCCCAGUAUUGAGGCUUCGACUUUUGCUUGUGUGUAGGCUUUGGUGGCAAGGAAGGGGAGCGUGUGUAUCGUGGAUUCCGGUUGUUCACAGCGCAUGCCCCGUGAUAAAAAUUGGUUCUCCUCCCUCGAACAGGCAUCCAAGACUAGUGCCGUUUUGGCUACAGGUUUGGUCAAGGUAAAUGACAAGUUUGAAUUGAAAAACGUAGCUUUGGUUGAGGUCUUAAAUUAUAAUUUGCUUUCAGUUUCACAAAUUGUUGAUGAAAAUUUUGAGGUUCACUUUAAGAAAACUAGAAGUAAAGUAUUUGAUUCUUGUGGUGAUUCUGUGCUAAAUAUUUCUCGCUAUGGAAGAGUGUUUAAAGCUGAUUUUGAAAAUUCUGUUUCACCUAUGAUAACAUGUUUGGUUGCUAAGUUUGAUAAGGAUGUCAUGUUUUGGCAUCGUAGACCUGGACAUGUUGGUUUUGAUCAUCUCAUGAGGUUAAGUGGUUUGCAUCUUGCUUGUGGUUUGCCUAAACUUAAGAAAGAUCUUGAUUUGGUUUGUACACCGUGUCGUCAUGCUAAGAUGGUUGCUUCUUCACAUGGUCCUAUUGUUUAAAAUCAUGACGGAUGCACNNNNNNNNNNNNNNNNNNNNNNNNNNNNNNNNNNNNNNNNNNNNNNNNNNNNNNNNNNNNNNNNNNNNNNNNNNNNNNNNNNNNNNNNNNNNNNNNNNNNNNNNNNNNNNNNNNNNNNNNNNNNNNNNNNNNNNNNNNNNNNNNNNNNNNNNNNNNNNNNNNNNNNNNNNNNNNNNNNNNNNNNNNNNNNNNNNNNNNNNAUUGGACUGUUGAAUUUCCUGGUUCUUUGAAAAAAAUUCGAAGUGAUAAUGGUGGUGAAUUUGAAAAUGCUUCAUUUGAACAAUUUUGCAAUGAAAGAGGUCUUGAACAUGAAUAUUCUUCUCCUCGUGUUCCACAACAAAAUGGUGUUAUUGAAAGAAAAAAUCGUGUGUUGGUUGAGAUGGCUAGAACGAUGUUGGAUGAGUAUCACACUCCUAGAAAAUUUUGAGCUGAAGCGGUUAACACUACAUGCUAUAUUUCAAAACUUGGAAAAACUUCUUAUGAGCUUCGAUUUGGACGUCAACCCAAAGUUUCAUAUUUGCGUGUUUUUGGUUGCAAAUGCUUUGUCUUGAAACCGUGGAAAUUUGGAUAAGUUUGAGGCACGCUCCACCGAUGGAAUGUUUCUUAGUUACCCCGCACACCCUCGUGGCUAUCGUGUACUUAUUUUGGAAACUAACAAAAUUGUUGAGACUAGUCCUGGUACUAGACCAGAAAUUGCAAGUACAUUGUCACAGGUGCAGGAGUAGGAUGGUCAUAUAUUUGAAGACGAGAGUGACGACGACGACGAGGUCGACUCGGCCGGUUAGACCGGGCGCCAGGCCGAUCAGACCGCCGGCACACCUCCGGUCAGACAGCCUCAGGAUGAGCGGUCAGACUGGCCAGGGUCGUUGGCUUCCCGUUCUGUUCAUGCUGAUCGUGAUGGUCCUCCAGAGGCUACAACUUCGACCAAUACUGGUACAGAACGUGAAACAACUUCAGAAGUCGCUGCUCCUUUGCAUAUUCAACGACGACAUCCGCCGGAACAAAUCACUGGUAAUCUAGGUGAGCGGACUAUAAGAUCUAAGGUAACGACUCAUGAUGUUUCUGCAAAUUCUGCAUUUGUUGCUUCUUUUGAACCAGAGAUGUUACUCAUGCAUUAACUGAUAAAUCGUGGAUUAGCGCCAUGCAUGAAGAACUUGAAAAUUUUGAGAGAAACAAAGUUUGGACUUUAGUUGAACCACCUUCUGGACAUAAUAUUAUUGGAACCAAGUGGGUUUUCAAAAAUAAACAAAAUGAGGAUGGUUUGAUUGUGACAAAUAAAGCUAGACUUGGUUCUCAGUGUUUUACCCAAGUGGAGGGUUGGGAUUGUGGUGAAACUUUUGCUCCUGUUGCUAGAAUUGAGGCAAUUAGACUUUUGUUAGCUUUUGCUAUUUCAAAAGGUUUUAAAUUGUAUCAAAUGGAUGUGAAAAGUGCUUUUCUAAAUGGUUUUAUAUAGGAGGAAGUUUAUGUCAAACAACCACCAGGUUUUGAAAAUCCUGAUUUUCCCAACCAUGUUUUUAAAUUGUCUAAAGCUUUGUAUGGCUUGAAACAAGCAACUAGAGCAUGGUAUGAUAGGCUUAAGAAUUUUGGGCUUGCGAAAGUGUUUUACAAUCGGAACGGUUGACAAAACACUUUUAGUUCUUAAGCAUGUGAUAAUCACUGGUUCGUCAGAUUAUGUGGAUGAUAUCAUCUGUGGUUGUUCAACUUACGCUUUGGUUGUGGAGUUGCUGAGACUAUGCGCAGGGAGUUUAAGAUAAGCAUGAUGAGUGAGUUAUCAUACUUUUUGGGAUUGCAAAUUAAGCAAACACCUCAAGGUACAUUUGUGCAUCAAACGAAGUACAAUGUUAACAUCAAUUGGUUCUACAGCUGUGUUGGAUCCUGAUGAAGAUGGUGAAGCUGUAACUAACAACAUGAUUGAAUCUUUAUCGUAUCUGAUUGCUUCUAGGCCAGACAUACAGUUUGCUGUGUGUUUGUGUGCACGCUUUCAAGCUUCUCCUCAUGCUUCACAUCGUCAAGCGGUUAAGCGAAUAAUGAAGUAUUUGAAUCAUACACUUAAGUUUGGAAUUUAGUAUUCUACUUCAUCUUCUAUAUGCUUGAGUGGAUAUUCCGAUGCUGAUUUUACUAGUUGUAGAAUUGAUAGGAAAAGUACUAGUGGAUCGGAACAUGUCAUUUUCUUGGUACUGUAGGAUCGUAAAGGGCCUUUACAACCCCAAAAGCUAGCCAUUGAGAUGAAGGGCUCCCCCACUUAUAUCUUAGGUCAUUUGCCCUUCCACAUUCAAUAUGGGACUAUUCAACAAUUUCGCCCUUCACACAUUGGUGCCCCUUAGCCCUUCACCACCCCUUCACUGUAUACAGGCCCCACAGGGCCACGGUCCAUCAGAUAUACAGGCCCCGCAGGCACCCACAGUCCAUCGGGCCUUCACACACUGUGUCCAUCGGGCCAGAGAUGUUAAACUAGCCAGGCUCUGAUACCAAUUAUAGGAUCGUAAAGGGCCUUUCCCACCCCAAAAGCUAACCAUUAAGGUGAGGGGCUCCCCCACUUAUAUCUUAGGUCCUUUUCCCUUCUACAACUAAUGUGGACUAUUCAACAAAACUCGUGUAAACCACAACCAAGAUCUUAACUACUUAAAAAAUUAAUAACUUUCCAUUUGUCACUUAAUUUUUCGUCCAUAUACAUGCUAAUUUUUCAUCCAUAUACUCAAUUUUUUUUGUCCUUCGUGCUUGUGUGUCCGCCUUGCUCACGAUCCCCUUCAUCCCCUACGCAACCUUCGUCCGUCUCUCUGUGAGAAACGGAUCGAAUAGAAUACAAGUAUGGACACAUGAACAAAUCAACCCAACUUCCCCAUCCAAAACCCAAUCAUAUGAACAAAUCGGAUCAAAAACAUCUUGAAAAAAUCAAGAAGAAAAUAAAGAGAAAUCGAGUCGGAGAAGAGAUAAAAUCAAGUGCACACUGAUCCUAAAUAAGGGGAAAUCACACUAUCGUCUGGGUUGGAGGCUAACUGGGAGUGGCCUCGCUCGAUCCGCGUCACCAGCACCCAAUCCGGGAUUGAUCCGUGUCACCCCUGUCCGAUCCGAUCCUCUCCAAUGUCCACAGUUUCGCCUGUUCUUCAGAACUCCAACCAAAACCAACGAGCUCCAAGCCACCAGAUCCGGCCACAAGAUAUCGAGGUCAGCUAAAUCUGGAAGGUAUGAAAAUUAAGGAGGCGGGAGAGAGGAGAGCUCGAGGAAAUUACUGAAUCCGAAAGCUAAAGGCAUUGCCGCCGCAAUAAUCUUCCUCCUCUUCUCCUGAUCAUUACCGGCGUCUUCUUCCUCACAGGCUGUACCACCGCCUCCCUGCACAAGCUCCAAGAAUCCCAUGCACCUUCGGCAUUUUCUCCUCCCUCCAGCUGCCAUAUCGGCUGGCCACGAGUCCAAAGUCACCAGGCAAUGAUGAGCAGAUGGAUACAUUAGGGGCGGCGGGCUGAGCGGAAUAUCGGCGGCGAUGAGGGUGAGGAAAGACCGAAAGAGGACGAGGGAGAAAGAACCGCUCACGUGGAUAAAUUAUUGGGGGUGCGAUUAUGUUUCUUUUUUCAUUUUUUCUAUUUUCUAACCACUCACGCGGAUCACGAUCGGAUGGGGGCAGCGAGCUGAGGGGAAUGAGAGCAGCGAGGAAACAACACUUAUUUUUUUCUUUUCUCUAACUGCUUACACAGAUAAUUAUGACAUAUAACAAUUUCAUUCGGUUGAUAUCUGUGUAGAACAUUAGCUUGAUUCAUCGAUUUGUACUUUUCAAAAAUAUCUUUUUUUUUCAUGAUUGCAUGUAUAAGAGUACAUCUAACUGAUUGAUUCAAAUGUUGAUAUAAUAUUUUAUAUGGUAUUGUAGAGAUAACCUCACCUAACUAAAUAAAGAGGAGAGAUCAUACACAAAUCCGCAAAACCAACCAAACAAAAUAUCUUCUGAACCGUCUCUCUUAUGGAAGCAACCAAACAAAAUAUUACAUUAGCCAAACAAAAUAAAUUCAAGCAACAAAACAGAGGAGGAAUGUUUAUCCUCUUAGCCAUGUCAAACUCAGGCUGUAUGAGGGAGAUAAGCUAGACUAAGGAGAUGCGAGCAACCUAACACAUGGGGAGGAUAGGGUAGCUUUGUUGAUGCAUGCCUAUGGUUCUUCAUUUAAGGAUGUUCUGGCCGAGUAUUGUUACACGAACUUAUAUCCUACCCUACUUUAAACAUAUGGAUUUUUUCAAUCGUCACGCUUUAUUUUGUUCAUCGCCUACAUGAACCCCGCUGAAUCGCCCGAUUGAGUCAAUCAUUUCAUUUUUUUUCCAUACGUGUUUAAAUUCAUGCAUUGUGUGAUAUAAAAUGAAAAAUUAAAAAAAAUAAAAAAAGGUAAAGGGAGAUGAGUUUUGUAUUUGCCUUUAGAAAAAUUAAAAAAAAUAAAAAAAGGUAAAGGGAGAUGAGUUUUGUAUUUGCCUUUAGUAUAUUCUUGUGCAUGGUAGCAAUACUUGUUAGAUAAUAUGGAACUAGACUUUGUAUGCAUUUUUUACUUUAUAUGAACUUUUGAUAUUGUUUUUGAUAGUGUAACGUUUCAUAUAGAUAGAGUAGAAAAUUACAAGUCUAUAUUCCUGGAGGGCUAUAGCCCAAAGGGAAAUAAAAACAACCAUGCCACACAUCUACAACCAAAUCCUGCAUGCUUCGUAUAUUCUCGAAAAUACUUUAUGCUUGAGCAAUAUUAUUAAGAAUGGAGAAGUUGUACCGAUCAAAUUAUCACCAAUUAUAUAGAACAUCCAUUUGGAAUGGCCUGCUGACUGAGUCAGUGUGGAGAUUAUGGGUACCCCAUACCCACACGGCAUGGUUAUCCGACUAGUUAUAGGGGAUAACUUAUAUCUAUGUAAUAUGUAACAGAUCAUGACUUGGGUGUUACGUUUCCUUGUAUAUUACGGAACGGCGUAAAGUCCUGAUUUGGGAAACCGAUACCGUAUUGGUUAAGGUUUCUAUCUUGUAAUCCUGCUCCCCAUCCUAUAUAAGGUGGGCAGGAGGCCCUCUAGGGGGCAGAUAUGAGACAACCUGAUCAUCAGAUCAAUACACACCCGGCGGAUUCAAAUCCCCAAACAGGAGUAGGGUAUUACCUCUCAUUGAGAGGGCCUGAACCUGUCUAAAUCCUUUGUCUCCACAUCCAUCCACUUUUAGGUCUCGUGCGCUACCCCUUUUAUUAUUGCCGAAAUCAUGUUUCGACAGUUGGCGCGCCAGGUAGGGGUUGCGUCGAGUUUUCCGUCGAGAAGUGCGAUGGAACUCUGUGCCGGCAUCAUCGGUGCUACUCUUGUCUUUGGCCGUGAUCCUCUCAACAAAAGGGCAGGGUCUUCGUCGCCAAAAAUUCUAUCUGGAUCUGGUUUAUCGUUCUAAAUUUUCUUAUAUAAAUUAGAAUUAAUUCACAGAUCACUAAUUAUUAUUUGAUCUAUUAUUUUAUACAUGUACCGCCGGCCGCUUCGUCGCUGCCGAUUGGUUUCAUCGCCUCCACAGUUGGUGUGCGCCGCUGCCGUUGCUGAUGGCGAUAUCGUCUUCACCGCCGGCCUGCCUCCGUCGCCGCCGACUGGUGUCCUCGCCUAUACGGUCGGUUGGUCACACCACCGUUGAUGGGCAUCGUCAUCUACACCGCCGGCCUGCCUCCGUCGCCGCCGACUGGUGUCAUCGCCUAUACGGUUGGUCGGUCACACCACCGUUCAUGGGCGUCCAUGUCUUCACCGACCGGCUGGCCUUCGCCGCCGCCGACUGGUGCCUCCGCCUACACGGCUGGCCUAUUAUGCCGCCGCUGUUGGGCGUCCACGACUUCACCGCCGGCCUGCCUCCGUCGCCGCCGACUGGUGUCUUCGUCUAUAUGGUUGGUUGGUCACACCACCGUUGUUGGGCGUCUACGUCUUCACCACCGGCAUGCCUCCGUUGCCGCCGAGUGGUGCCUCCGCCUACACGGCUGGCCUAUUAUGCCGCCGCUGUUGGGCGUCCACGACUUCACCGCCGGCCUGCCUCCGUCGCCGCCGACUGGUGUCCUCGCCUAUACGGUCGGUUGGUCACACCACCGUUGAUGGGCAUCGUCAUCUACACCGCCGGCCUGCCUCCGUCGCCGCCGACUGGUGUCAUCGCCUAUACGGUUGGUCGGUCACACCACCGUUCAUGGGCGUCCACGUCUUCACCGACCGGCUGGCCUUCGUCGACUGGUGUUUUCGCCUGCACGGCUGGCCUAUUAUGCCGCCGUUGUUGGAUGUCUACAUCUUCACCGUUGGAUCACCUUCGUUGCCGUCGACUGGUGUUUCCGCUUACACGGCUGGCCUAUUAUGCCGCCGUUAGUGGGCAUCUUCGCUUUCACCGUCGACCGCCUUCGUCGCCGCCGACUGGUGUCUUCAUUGUUAUUGAUGGACGACUUUGUUCCCACAUUGGCCACUUCUGCCAUCACCAAGGGGAAUAUUACAAAGCUAAGUCAUCAUUUAUUUUAUUCUUUAUAUGAUAUUUUUCCUUUUCCUCUGCCUCACUACACCAAUUGGUCUUCCAUUGAGUAGUGAGUCGGGGGCUAGAGAUGUUAUAUCAUAUUUUUCAUAAUAUUUAUCUUGAUUGCUUGCGACAUAAUCUGAGUACAAAAGUACCUAUCGAGUUAUGGAGUUCUAUCUUCCUAUGCUUUCCGUUUGGUUUGCCAAUGGAUAGUUGCCUUUAGGCCGAUUCCUAGCACCCGGGGGCUCGUUGGAUGGACCGAGUAACGCAAGGUGCUAAGUAUUAUUCGGAAUAAAUCAAAAGCAUAGAGAUAAGAUAAUUUAUUUUCUGCUCUUAAUAAUUGCAAAAGUACCCGAGUAGUAAACUCCGAUCCGUGAAACUUUGUUCCAUUAAUGACGAACUCAUGUCACUCAUAUGCAUGUUUGGGAAGUGCUUAGGCCGACUCCCAGUGCUUGGUGGCUAUGACUAGUCGGGCAGAGUGUUUAAACGUAAUGAGUCAUCUGCUCGGAGAAAUCAAAAUUAACAAGAGAAGACAUACGUAUUUAUAAACUGCUUGAUUUUUUCUCGAGUAUUAUAUUUAUAUCAGAUACUACUCAUCCUAUAUGUUUGUUCUGCAGGAUCCAGAUCCAGAUAUGCAUAAAAGGGAUUCAUGGCUUUAAGCAUAUCUCUUAUGCUCCAGGAAUGGAUCAGUCAGAACAUCACCACCGGCUCGCCUCGACCGCCGCCGACUGGCGUUUCCGCCUGCACGGCUGGCCUAUUAUGCCGCCGAUGUUGGGCGUCUACGUCUUCACCGACCGGCUUGCCUUCGCCGCCGCCGACUGGUGUGUCCGCCUGCACGGGUGGCCUAUUAUGCCGCCGUUGUUGGGCGUCUACGUCUUCACCGACCGGCUUGCCUUCGCCGCCGCCGACUGGUGUGUCCGCCUGCACGGUCUGGCCUAUUAUGCCGCCGUUGUUGGGCGUCUACGUCUUCACCGACCGGCCUGCCUUCGCCGCUGCCGACUGUGGUGUCCGCUGCACGGCUCUUAUGGCUGCCGUUGUGGGCGUCUACGUCUUCACCGACCGGCCGCCUCGUCGGCCGCCGACUGGUGUUUCCGUCUGCACGGCUGGCCUAUUACGCCACCGUUGUUGGGCGUCUACGUCUUCACCGAUGGCCGCCUCGUCCGCCGCCGAUUGGUGUCUUCGCCUAUACGGUUGGUUGGUCACACCACCGUUGUUGGGCGUCUACGUCUUCACCGACCGGCUUGCCUUCGUCGCCGCCGACUGGUGUCUCCGCCUGCACGGCUGCCCUAUCAUGCCACCAUUGUUGGGCGUAUACGUCUUCACCGACCGCACGCCUCGUCAGCCGCCGACUGGUGUUUCCGCAUGCACGGCUGGCCUAUAAUGCCACCGUUGUGGGGCGUCUACGUCUUCACCGACCGGCCGCCUCGUCAGCCGCCGACUGGUGUUUCCGCCUGCACGGCUGGCCUAUUAUGCCACCGUUGUUGGGCGUCUACGUCUUCACCGACCGGCCGCCUUCGUCCGCCGCCGACUGGUGUGUCCGCCUGCACGGCUGGCCUAUUAUGCCGUCGUUGUUGGGCGUCUACAUCUUCACCGACCGGCCGCCUCGUCGGCCGCCGACUGGUGUCUCCGCCUGCACGGCUGGCCUAUUAUGCCACCAUUGUUGGGCGUCUACGUCUUCACCGACCGGCCGCCUCGUCAGCCGCCGACUGGUGUUUCCGCCUGCACGGCUGGCCUAUUAUGUCACCGUUGUUGGGCGUCUACGUCUUCACCGACCGGCCGCCUCGUCAGCCGCCGACUGGUGUUUCCGCCUGAACGGCUGGCCUAUUAUGCCACCGUUGUUGGGCGUCUACGUCUUCACCGACCGGCCGCCUCGUCCGCCGCCGACUGGUGUUUCCGCCUGCACGGCUGGCCUAUUAUGCCGCCGUUGUUGGGCGUCUACGUCUUCACCGACCGGCCUGCCUCCGUCGCCGCCGACUGGUGUCCUCGCCUAAACGGUUGGUUGGUCACACCACCGUUCAUGGGCAUCCACGUCUUCACCGACCGGCCACCUCGUCCGCCGCCGGACUGGUGUUCCGCCUGCACGGCUGGCCUAUUGAGCCGUCGUUGUUGGGCGUCUACGACUCCACCACCGGCCUGCCUCCGUCGCCGCCGACUGGUGUCCUCGCCUAAACGGUUGGUUGGUCACACCACCGUUCAUGGGCAUCCACGUCUUCACCGACCGGCCGCCUCGUCCGCUGCCGACUGGUGUUUCCGCCUGCACGGCUGGCCUAUUAUGCCGCCGUUGUUGGGCGUAUACGUCUUCACCGACCGGCCGCCUCGGUCGCCGCCGACUGGUGUUUCCGCCUGCACGGCUGGCCUUUAUGCCGCCGUUGUUGGGCGUCUACGUCUUCACCGACCGGCCUGCCUUCGCCGCUGCCGACUGGUGUUUCCGCCUGCACGGCUGGCCUUUAUGCUGCCGUUGUUGGGCGUCUACGUCUUCACCGACCGGCCGCCUCGUCGGCCGUCGACUGGUGUUUCCGCCUGCACGGCUGGCCUAUUAUGCCACCGUUGUUGGGCGUCUACGUCUUCACCGACCGGCCGCCUCGUCCGCCGCCGAUUGGUGUCUUCGCCUAUACGGUUGGUUGGUCACACCACCGUUGUUGGGCGUCUACGUCUUCACCGACCGGCCUGCCUUCGCCGCCGCCGACUGGUGUCUCCGCCUGCACGGCUGGCCUUUAUGCUGCCGUUGUUGGGCGUCUACGUCUUCACCUGACCGGCCGCCUCGUCGGCCGCCGACUGGUGUUUCCGCCUGCACGGCUGGCCUAUUAUGCCGCCGUUGUUGGGCGUCUACGUCUUCACCGACCGGCCGCCUCGUCCGCCGCCGAUUGGUGUCUUCGCCUAUACGGUUGGUUGGUCACACCACCGUUGUUGGGCGUCUACGUCUUCACCGAUCGGCUUGCCUUCGUCGCCGCCGACUGGUGUCUCCGCCUGCACGGCUGGCCUAUUAUGCCACCCUUGUUGGGCGUCUACGUCUUCACCGACCGGCCGCCUCGUCCGCCGCCGACUGGUGUUUCCGCCUGCACGGCUGGCCUUUAUGCUGCCGUUGUUGGGCGUCUACGUCUUCACCGACCGGCCGCCUCGUCGGCCGCCGACAGGUGUUUCCGUCUGCACGGCUGGCCUAUUACGCCACCGUUGUUGGGCGUCUACGUCUUCACCGACCGGCCGCCUCGUCCGCCGCCGACUGGUGUUUCCGCCUGCACGGCUGGCCUAUUAUGCCGCCGUUGUUGGGCGUCUACGUCUUCACUGACCGGCUUGCCUUCGCCGCCGCUGACUGGUGUUUCCGCCUGCACGGCUGGCCUUUAUGCCGCCGUUGUUGGGCGUCUACGUCUUCACCGACCGGCCGCCUCGUCGGCCGCCGACUGGUGUUUCCGCCUGCACGGCUGGCCUAUUAUGCCUCCGUUGUUGGGCGUCUACGUCUUCACCGACCGGCCGCCUCGUCCGCCGCCGAUUGGUGUCUUCGCCUAUACGGUUGGUUGGUCACACCACCGUUGUUGGGCGUCUACGUCAUCACCGAUCGGCUUGCCUUCGUCGCCGCCGACUGGUGUCUCCGCCUGCACGGCUGGCCUAUUAUGCCACCGUUGUUGGGCGUCUACGUCUUCACCGACCGGCCGCCUCGUCCGCCGCCGACUGGUGUUUCCGCCUGCACGGCUGGCCUAUUAUGCCGCCGUUGUUGGGCGUCUACGUCUUCACCGACCGGCUUGCCUUCGCCGCCGCUGACUGGUGUUUCCGCCUGCACGGCUGGCCUUUAUGCCGCCGUUGUUGGGCGUCUACGUCUUCACCGACCGGCCUGCCUUCGCCGCUGCCGACUGGUGUUUCCGCCUGCACGGCUGGCCUUUAUGCUGCCGUUGUUGGGCGUCUACGUCUUCACCGACCGGCCGCCUCGUCGGCCGCCGACUGGUGUUUCCGCCUGCACGGCUGGCCUAUUAUGCCACCGUUGUUGGGCGUCUACGUCUUCACCGACCGGCCGCUCGUCCGCCGCCGAUUGGUGUCUUCGCCUAUACGGUUGGUUGGUCACACCACCGUUGUUGGGCGUCUACGUCUUCACCGAUCGGCUUGCCUUCGUCGCCGCCGACUGGUGUCUCCGCCUGCACGGCUGGCCUAUUAUGCCACCGUUGUUGGGCGUCUACGUCUUCACCGACCGGCCGCCUCGUCCGCCGCCGACUGGUGUUUCCGCCUGCACGGCUGGCCUUUAUGCUGCCGUUGUUGGGCGUUUACGUCUUCACCGACCGGCCGCCUCGUCGGCCGCCGACUGGUGUUUCCGUCUGCACGGCUGGCCUAUUACGCCACCGUUGUUGGGCGUCUACGUCUUCACCGACUGGCCGCCUCGUCCGCCGCCGAUUGGUGUCUUCGCCUAUACGGUUGGUUGGUCACACCACCGUUGUUGGGCGUCUACGUCUUCACCGACCGGCUUGCCUUCGUCGCCGCCGACUGGUGUCUCCGCCUGCACGGCUGGCCUUUAUGCUGCCGUUGUUGGGCGUCUACGUCUUCACCGACCGGCCGCCUCGUCGGCCGCCGACUGGUGUUUCCGCCUGCACGGCUGGCCUAUUAUGCCACCGUUGUGGGGCGUCUACGUCUUCACCGACCGGGCCGCCUUCGUCCGCCGCCGGACUGGUGUUUCCGCCUGCACGGCUGGCCUAUUAUACCGCCGUUGUUGGGCGUCUACGUCUUCACCGACCGGCUUGCCUUCGCCGCCGCUGACUGGUGUUUCCGGCUGCACGGCUGGCAUUAAUGCCGCCGCUGUUGGGCGUCUACGUCUUCACCGACCGGCCUGCCUUCGCCGCUGCCGACUGGUGUUUUCCGCCUGCACGGCUGGCCUUUAUGCUGCCGUUGUUGGGCGUCUACGUCUUCACCGACCGGCCGCCUCGUCGGCCGCCGACUGGUGUUUCCGCCUGCACGGCUGGCCUAUUAUGCCACCGUUGUUGGGCGUCUACGUCUUCACCGACCGGCCGCCUCGUCCGCCGCCGAUUGGUGUCUUCGCCUAUACGGUUGGUUGGUCACACCACCGUUGUUGGGCGUCUACGUCUUCACCGACCGGCCUGCCUCCGUCGCCGCCGACUGGUGUCCUCGCCUAUACGGUCGGUUGGUCACACCACCGUUGAUGGGCAUCGUCAUCUACACCGCCGGCCUGCCUCCGUCGCCGCCGACUGGUGUCAUCGCCUAUACGGUUGGUCGGUCACACCACCGUUCAUGGGCGUCCACGUCUUCACCGACCGGCUGGCCUUCGUCGACUGGUGUUUUCGCCUGCACGGCUGGCCUAUUAUGCCGCCGUUGUUGGAUGUCUACAUCUUCACCGUUGGAUCACCUUCGUUGCCGUCGACUGGUGUUUCCGCUUACACGGCUGGCCUAUUAUGCCGCCGUUAGUGGGCAUCUUCGCUUUCACCGUCGACCGCCUUCGUCGCCGCCGACUGGUGUCUUCAUUGUUAUUGAUGGACGACUUUGUUCCCACAUUGGCCACUUCUGCCAUCACCAAGGGGAAUAUUACAAAGCUAAGUCAUCAUUUAUUUUAUUCUUUAUAUGAUAUUUUUCCUUUUCCUCUGCCUCACUACACCAAUUGGUCUUCCAUUGAGUAGUGAGUCGGGGGCUAGAGAUGUUAUAUCAUAUUUUUCAUAAUAUUUAUCUUGAUUGCUUGCGACAUAAUCUGAGUACAAAAGUACCUAUCGAGUUAUGGAGUUCUAUCUUCCUAUGCUUUCCGUUUGGUUUGCCAAUGGAUAGUUGCCUUUAGNCCGAUUCCUAGCACCCGGGGGCUCGUUGGAUGGACCGAGUAACGCAAGUGCUAAGUAUUAUUCGGAAUAAAUCAAAAGCAUAGAGAUAAGAUAAUUUAUUUUCGGCUCUUAAUAAUUGCAAAAGUACCCGAGUAGUAACUCCGAUCCGUGAAACUUUGUUCCAUUAAUGACGAACUCAUGUCACUCAUAUGCAUGUUUGGGAAGUGCUUAGGCCGACUCCCAGUGCUUGGUGGCUAUGACUAGUCGGGCAGAGUGUUUAAACGUAAUGAGUCAUCUGCUCGGAGAAAUCAAAAUUAACAAGAGAAGACAUACGUAUUUAUAAACUGCUUGAUUUUUUCUCGAGUAUUAUAUUUAUAUCAGAUACUACUCAUCCUAUAUGUUUGUUCUGCAGGAUCCAGAUCCAGAUAUGCAUAAAAGGGAUUCAUGGCUUUAAGCAUAUCUCUUAUGCUCCAGGAAUGGAUCAGUCAGAACAUCACCACCGGCUCGCCUCGACCGCCGCCGACUGGCGUUUCCGCCUGCACGGCUGGCCUAUUAUGCCGCCGUUGUUGGGCGUCUACGUCUUCACCGACCGGCUUGCCUUCGCCGCCGCCGACUGGUGUGUCCGCCUGCACGGCUGGCCUAUUAUGCCGCCGUUGUUGGGCGUCUACGUCUUCACCGACCGGCUUGCCUUCGCCGCCGCCGACUGGUGUGUCCGCCUGCACGGCUGGCCUAUUAUGCCGCCGUUGUUGGGCGUCUACGUCUUCACCGACCGGCCUGCCUUCGCCGCUGCCGACUGGUGUUUCCGCCUGCACGGCUGGCCUUUAUGCUGCCGUUGUUGGGCGUCUACGUCUUCACCGACCGGCCGCCUCGUCAGCCGCCGACUGGUGUUUCCGCCUGCACGGCUGGCCUAUUAUGCCACCGUUGUUGGGCGUCUACGUCUUCACCGACCGGCCGCCUCGUCCGCCGCCGAUUGGUGUCUUCGCCUAUACGGUUGGUUGGUCACACCACCGUUGUUGGGCGUCUACGUCUUCACCGACCGGCCUGCCUUCGCCGCCGCCGACUGGUGUCUCCGCCUGCACGGCUGGCCUUUAUGCUGCCGUUGUUGGGCGUCUACGUCUUCACCGACCGGCCGCCUCGUCGGCCGCCGACUGGUGUUUCCGCCUGCACGGCUGGCCUAUUAUGCCACCGUUGUUGGGCGUCUACGUCUUCACCGACCGGCCGCCUCGUCCGCCGCCGACUGGUGUUUCCGCCUGCACGGCUGGCCUAUUAUGCCGCCGUUGUUGGGCGUCUACGUCUUCACCGACCGGCUUGCCUUCGCCGCCGCUGACUGGUGUUUCCGCACUGCACGGCUGGCACUUUAUGCCGCCGUUUGUUGGGCGUCUACGUCUUCACCGACCGGCACUGCCUUCGCCGCUGCCGACUGGUGUUUCCGCCUGCACGGCUGGCACUUUAUGCUGCCCGUUGUUUCGUUGGGGCCGGGUUCUACGUCUUCACCGACCGGCCGCCUCGUCGGCCGCCAGACUGGUGUUUCCGCCUGCACGGCUGGCCUAUUACGCCACGCGUUGUUGGGCGUCUACGUCUUCACCGACCGGCCUGCCUUCGCCGCUGCCGACUGGUGUUUCCGCCUGCACGGCUGGCCUUUAUGCUGCCAGUUGUUGGGCGUCUACGUCUUCACCGACCGGCCCCCUCGUCGGCCGCCGACUGGUGUUUCCGCCUGCACGGCUGGCCUAUUACGCCACCGUUGUUGGGCGUCUACGUCUUCACCGACCGGCCUGCCUUCGCCGCUGCCGACUGGUGUUUCCGCCUGCACGGCUGGCCUUUAUGCCGCCGUUGUUGGGCGUCUACGUCUUCACCGACCGGCCGCCUCGUCCGUCGCCGACUGGUGUUUCCGCCUGCACGGCUGGCCUAUUAUGCCGCCGUUGUUGGGCGUCUACGUCUUCACUGACCGGCUUGCCUUCGUCGCCGCCGACUGGUGUCUCCGCCUGCACGACUGGCCUAUUAUGCCACCGUUGUUGGGCGUCUACGUCUUCACCGACCGGCCGCCUCGUCCGCCGCCGACUGGUGUUUCCGCCUGCACGGCUGGCCUAUUAUGCCACCGUUGUUGGGCGUCUACGUCUUCACCGACCGGCCGCCUCGUCAGCCGCCGACUGGUGUUUCCGCCUGCACGGCUGGCCUAUUAUGCCACCGUUGUUGGGCGUCUACGUCUUCACCGACGGGCCGCCUCGUCCGCCGCCGACUGGUGUUUCCGCCUGCACGGCUGGCCUAUUAUGCCACCGUUGUUGGGCGUCUACGUCUUCACCGACCGGCCGCCUCGUCCGCCGCCGACUGGUGUUUCCGCCUGCACGGCUGGCCUAUUAUGCCACCGUUGUUGGGCGUCUACGUCUUCACCGACCGGCCGCCUCGUCCGCCGCCGACUGGUGUUUCCGCCUGCACGGCUGGCCUAUUAUGCCACCGUUGUUGGGCGUCUACGUCUUCACCGACCGGCCGCCGCAUCCGCCGCUGACUGGUGUCACCGCCUGCACGGCUGGCCUGUUAUAACGCCAACUGAUGCUAUCUUCUUCACGGCUGGCUACAUCGCUGUCACUACUAAUAGGCAUCAGUAUCUUCAACACAAGCUGCCUACGUUUGCCAUGGCUGCCGACUAGUUUCUUCACUUCCAUGGCUGCAUGAUUCUGCCAGUGUUGAUUGGCCUAUUAUGCCGCUGUUGUUGGGCAUCUACAUCUUCAUCGCCGGUCGUCUCGUCUGCUGCUGACUAGUGCCCUUACCUCUACGUCUGGUUUAUACAGCUACCACUACUGAUGGACAUCAUCGUCUUUCGUCGCCGACUGGUUAUGCUGUCGCCGACUAGUGCUUUUAUUUUCACAACUGCGCGUCUUCGCUACCAGCUUGCUUCUAUUGCCGCCGACUCGUGUUCACUUCAUCACGGCGAUGCAACUUUGUCAUCAUGGUGGAGCGACUUCAUCUUUAUUAUCUUCGUCACUGGCAAACUCUAUUGCUGCUACUUCGCAAGUUUUGCUUCUUCACCAACCAUGACGUCUUUGUGAACCUCGACAUCUCGGCAUGCGAUGCCGUGUUAUUUUACUACAACAAGUGGCUCUCCAAUAUUCAGGAUUUCUACUUGGACAUCUUCAACACAUAUCUUCAAUCAAGCAAUGACUAUUCGAUGACAAGAAGCUACAGUUCUCGACUCUAUGUUUAGUUGUUUCCCAACUAAUCAAAGAGUCGGGGGCUACACAAAUACAAGGCUCAAAAUUUGACAAAUUUUAUGUCAAGCUGAAGAAAUCAAUUCAUCAACCCACGAGUCAACUCCAGGAGUCAUUAUCUUCAUCUUUGCUUCGGAGCAGACAUUCUACUUCAACAACUUCAAAUAUUUCGCACCUCUGCUUCAUCGACCCUGACAUCUCUGCUGUUGCUAAUGGAUGAUUAUGUUUUCGCCGACUUAUUAUUUCACCUUCACGGUUGACCUACUAUGCAAAUGCUGAUGAGCGUCUUUGUCAUUAUCAUUGGUUGCUACACUGCUAUUGGCUGGAUCACCGACAUCGUCAUCUUCAUCAUGUCGGUUGCGUUUGUCGGCGUCAAGUAUUUUCUUCAUCUUCAUGAUUGGUGGAUUUCGUCAUCGUCUUUGAUGCGUGUCUACAUCUUCACCGUCGGCUUGCUUUCAUCACCACCGACUGAUUAUUUCGUCGCCGCCGACUGCUCUGUCGUUGUUGUUGGGGGCCUUCAUCUUCAUUGCUAGCUGACCUGAUUGCUGCCGACUGGUUUCUUCGCCUCUGCGGCUGUGCAACUUCAUCACUUUUGAUUGGAAUCACUAUCUUCCCUACCACCAAUAUUUUUGCCACCUCUGGUGGGCAAUAUUCUCUCUAUAUUGGUUGUCUUGUCUCUAUGCUAACUGCGUCAGCUACCAUCAAUGAACAAUUGUGACUACGUGCUCAGGGGCUUACUAGCUCAAAUACAAGUAUUAUAUCUUCAAUUUGGACUUGCUCCGGAUACAUGCAACAUGAAUUCAUGAUCAUGGGUCUAUUUUAUAUGCUCAAGGACUGGACUAUUUAUUAUUCCCCGUAAGGGUUAUCAACUGAAUACUUGCGCCAGUCGGGAUUCAAUUAUUAUAUUUAUUUGGGAGUAUCCCAUAAGGGAUAAUCAUUCAGAUCAGAAGCUAUUCAUAUGAGCUACACUUGGUCUAUAUUACCCGGAAGAUUUAUUACUCGGGAGCAUGUUACAUGCGUCAUCCUUUAAAGGGUAUCGAAGGCAUAUUUUUUGGCCAAGGCCUAAUAUGUCUGCAGCCCAUAUUUUCAGGUGUGGCCUGUCACGUUCUUUUAGGGACUUAGGCACUUUUUGCUUAGGCCAAAGUGCGCGUGAUCAAGUGCCCAAUACCUUAAAAUCCUUUUAUACCGCAGUUACUCAACUUUUUAGGAGUUGGUACAAUGCAUCUUAAAAGGUGUCAAACAGUAAAGCUUUAUAUAGCUGCCCCGCUGACUUUUUAAUAUAGUCAUGGUGCUGUGUGGGUUUUUAAGCAAUUGAUUGAAUACAAUAUCAUUGCUUUUUGCCACGUAAGUGUGCAUUUUUAUUGACCAAUAUUAUGGCUUAGGCUGAUUAUAUAUUGUGGUCAUUUUACAGGCGGGUGGUAAAUCCUUUAUGAGUUUAUUUACUCGGAUUUUAUAACACAUAUGCCAUAUAUUUCCAGGUGUGGUGGAACCAUGUGUCUUCUAGGGACUUAAGCACAUAUGUUAAAACAGUGUGCGCAUGGCGUAUGCCCAAUACUUUGGAAAUUUCUUUAUUCACAACACACAAGCUUUUUUAUAGCUGUUUUGCUAUGUGAAUUUUCAAUACAUGUAGCCAACUUUAGGUUACGCUCAUCAUAUUUUACAAAGCAGUCGGUAUAUCACUCGGAUCAUGUUAUUGGAGGAUUCACACCGCAUAUGCUAUAUAUUGAUAUCAAGUCACUUGGUUGAUUACGAUUAUCAAAAUCACUCGGUUGGUUGGAUUAUUUAUUCCUUGACUAUAUGCUUGGUUUGUUCAAUUAACCACAUUGUCGGGGGCUACACCUAUUCAGGUGCAUCUCAGUCGGUGCACCUGACUAUAUUUUUCAGCCCUCCACAGUCUUCAGAUUUGGUAAAAGUACUCGGGAGACCAUGGCGAAGAUGCAUUGGAGCACUCGGCUUUGGAGUAAUCUAGUUCGAGAGAAGGUUAUCUUUCCGACUGUGAAGGUCUCAGGGGCUACUGUGGAGAUUAUGGGUACCCCAUACCCACACGGCAUGGUUAUCCGACUAGUUAUAGGGGAUAACUUAUAUCUAUGUAAUAUGUAACAGAUCAUGACUUGGGUGUUACGUUUCCUUGUAUAUUACGGAACGGCCUAAAGUCCUGAUUUGGGAAACCGAUACCGUAUUGGUUAAGGUUUCUAUCUUGUAAUCCUGCUCCCCAUCCUAUAUAAGGUGGGCAGGAGGCCCUCUAGGGGGCAGAUAUGAGACAACCUGAUCAUCAGAUCAAUACACACCCGGCGGAUUCAAAUCCCCAAACAGGAGUAGGGUAUUACCUCUCAUUGAGAGGGCCUGAACCUGUCUAAAUCCUUUGUCUCCACAUCCAUCCACUUUUAGGUCUCGUGCGCUACCCCCUUUUAUUAUUGCCGAAAUCAUGUUUCGACAGUCAGCCUGAUUCUGGCCGCAUGGCCACAUUCUCCACUUCCAUCACAUGAUUUAUCUUUGGAGAACUUUUGCCAAGUUUGUAUUAAAAAAGAGUAAAAAUCCGAUGCUCCACGAUAAAAGAUACUCUCCGUCCCAUAAAAAAUCAACUUAGUACUGGAUGUGACACAUCCUAAUACUACGAAUUUGCACAUAUCUUUGUCUAAAUUCGUUGUACUAGAUUAUGUCAUAUCUAGUCCUAGAUUUGUUUUUUUUUUGACAGGGGGAGUACCACUUAAAAGGUAGGUACUUAGCUAGUAAUUAAGGGUAAAGAGAUAAUUUUCCUAGGAGAUAGAGAAGGGUAAAAUUAUCUUCAGUUCUAGGUACGUAGGUACCACAUCGGUACCAUAUCUCAGUACAUUAUUUACGUGUUCUUUUUUAAGAUUUACAUUUUCUUCUUAAGAACGUAUUCGCUUUGUAAGCCUCCAUGACGUGAUUUACAUGCUUUGUAGAAUUCAUUCACUAACAACAAAUUAUAUGUUUCAGGAAUUAAAUAACUAAUUCUAUAAUACCAUACACCUAGAUUUCAAUAUGGACCCGAACUCAACCAUCUUCCAAAUUUACCUCACGUUGGCUGAUGUGCUUCGCCUUGCCAUUGUCGAGUUGAUCUCAUCUCCUAUUCAAUUCUCAACCAUACCAACACUUCUCCCAUUUUUUUCCCUGGUGAACCAAUGCAAACACUAGAACAAGAACGAAGUGAUGUGUAAAGAAGAUUCAACCGGAUUUUGGGUCAUGGGUAGAUCUAAUCGAUGCCAAAAUCAAUGCCUCCGAAUAUUUACNNAUUUUAAGUAAAUUCGAUUCAACNGUAAUGCCAAUAGUUCACUAGUUAAUAACUCUACUGCACAUUGGUUACAAUAAUUUUUCUUACAUACCUGUCUCCUCUCUUGAUCAAUGGUCCACAUUACCCCACCUCUCGAUAACUCUAAAUAGCUCGUAAACACUGUGAAACCUCUCAUAUCUUACGUACAAAAUGAUCCGUAACUGUUUGAUGAUCAGCAAUGGCACACAAAGAUACACGAGGCAAGAAUAAAGAAGGAAUAUAAUCAAAGAGGUAAAUUUGGAUACCCAGGCUCCUAACAUUUUCGCUAAAUGGCGCAUUCUUAUUUACAAAUUUUCAGCGCUGUCACACAGUCACACACUAACACGCAGGACCUUGCAGUAGACUGCAGUCUGCCAGCUAAGACGACGUUGGUCAAACAUCCAAGACAAAUCAGUCUUCUACAUGGUACAUGGAUAGCAAGGCCAGCAAAAGAACAAAACACAAAUCGUAAGGUAAAAACAUGGUGGAAUUCCGGACACCUCCCACUCUUAGAGCAGGUUGUCAGAUUCUCAGAGAUUGCAGGUAAGAUCAGUAUCAUAUCAUUCCCAGGCUACAACCCUACAACUGUGAAUGGCCUUGCUCAAGAUUACCAUUUGGCAGCUGCUGCUAUGUACUCAGCGAUCCCAGCAGCAAAUAUGACCGACUAUUUAUGCAUCCUUUAAUUCCUUUUCAAGUACUUCUCGCAUUGUCUUUGCGGCAAUUUUCAGGUAGCAAUAUGGACACGCAGAUACUGUCCUUGGUUUUGCACAGGAUAUCAGUUAUUAUUAUUUCUCAUUGUAGAAACAUCUUGUAACCAUUGUGUGAAUUGUCGGUACACACACCAGUCCAAUAGCUAAGAAGAUGCCAAAGAGCCAAGUAACAUCUCAACAAAAGUGUCAUGGUCUCAUGGAUCACAGUAAAAGAAUGUAAAUUGUCAUAGAAGGUAAAACCACCUUGUCCUACUGAGUCCAACUGAGAGAUCAUUGCUCAAGCAUUAUAGCUCCACAUGGCCGUUUUUUAGCUAGAAAACGAGUUUUGGGGCCACCAUUUUCUAUUGCCAUUACUUUUAAAUUAUUUACCUGUAAAAACUUUUAGCGAUUAACAUUGCCAUUAUUGUCAAUUUCCACUACUCUCCGUUUCGAAUGAUAAUAUACGGCACUCGAAGGAGAAAUAUAGCUGUAAGUGAACGGUGACAAAUGUCUAUGUUUGGCAGCUAGUUAGAACCGCCAAGAAUAUAUAGAAAACGACAGACAGAUUAAUGACCGCCAAAGAAAGCAAAGAGCCUCCAAGAAAAAUUACGGAUUCUUCAUUCUUAUAGUGAACUGGUACUCACAACAACUUUGAAUCUAUCCACAGUUGUAUGAAAAUAACUUGCUUGACAGAUGGCACAAUACGCGAACAAGAAUUAAACAACAAUAACUAUGCGACGGUUAAAGCAACGUAAUAGAGGUGGCAGUAUACUUCUACUUUAUCCGUAUCAUCAUACUUUAUUUUAUUGGUUUACUCACAAUUUAUCUUACCUUUUUCUCUGUACUUUUAUUAGAAAUUACAGAGAGCCUACUGCACGAGGGAAAGUUCAUCCAGUUAUCACAUCUCCCCCAACUUUCCACCUCGAUUCACAAAGGAGUUCCAAACAGCCCACCCCAACUUUUUACUGCAUAUGUUCAUAGCAGGCUAUUGACAUCUUGCAUGGAGCUAUGCUAGGAUUCCAGAUUCCAUGGAUGGAUAUACUACUAUGUAAGAAUAUGUGUAUGAAAUUUAUUAGCGAGGAGCCAGAGUUUCGAACUCAGAUCAAGUGCAACUAGCUUUUCUAAUAAUGGAAUAGAAUAUCCUGGCAUUUGCUCAACAAAUUACAGCCAAUUAUUACAACGUAACACUCAAAACGAGUGUAGUUCACAUAAAUAAAACAAGACACCAACAGGUAGCUUGGUCAAUAGUACAACUAACUAACGGCAUAGAAAUGACCACGUCGGAUUAUUGCAGCUAAUACAAAGUUAGUAGGGUAUACAAUAUAUAGCCAACAACACUUUAUACCUGCAACAGUGUUUACUUACAGCUUUUUCCUUUUUUUAAUUAGUUCAAUUUGUUGUAUUAGAGGAAAUGGAGUUGAUGCGGGUCCACAAAAUGCCAGCUUUUUGGCUUGUGCGGGCUGCUCCUGAGUUGCAGUGCAUGGUGGAUUGUGCUAUCGCCUGGUGAUUAAUUUGACGUUCACGUCCUUCUCUCUCCUUGGUUCUCUCUCCUUCAUAUUAGAAUAUAAUGAUAUAAAAUGUUUUAGAGGAAUGAGCCUAUUGUAACUGCCCUAAGGACUGCACUCGUUUCUGGCUAUCCAUUUUGAUGAUGAACGUUCAGAUUUGUUUCUACAGUAAUAACAUGGACAGAAAAGCUGACCAACGGCCAGUCUGUGUUGUGUGCUCAAAAACCACAAGGUACUAUACGUACUGUGGCAAUACAUUAUGAUUUACUCGGUAACAACUAAGUAUCUAAUCACAAUGUGCGUGUAAAAUUUCUCAGUACUGUUUCCAAUCAUAGCUUGCAUAGGCUGUGCGUCUUGGUGACAAAUAUGUGCAACCGUUGUAAAUAGCAGUGUUACUUUCUAGAUCACUAACAUUGUUUGGCCAUUUUAUAAGUUUCAUUGGUUUAGCUGCAUUUCUAGUGCCCCAAAUAGACCACAGAACAGCAAUAAAAUUCUUCAUAUCAUUAAUUCCUAUGGUUACACGAAACCCCUCGCGAGUGAGGAGGAAUACUCCACCCAUAUUGAAAGUACUAUCAACUACAUUCCAAACAAUAAAGCAAAUGGGCAUUUGGGAAACAAGGAUUGAUGUACAAGAAGAUGAAUACGUAUUGCAUGACACGAAUAUUUUCUAGCAAGUAUAGGGCAUUUGUAGCAGAGCCUUGAGAUGUUUGACAACAUUCAAUCUGCCUAUAUUUCGUCUUUCGUAAAGUUGGAUAUGCCCGUACUGCUUGACUCGUUUGAUUGAAAGAACAGAGUAUUGCUUGCUGCUCCUCUGGAUCCGCCAGUGUCGAGAGAGAGAGAGAGAGGAGGAGGAAAUUAAAGCCCCGACCCUAGUCAUCUACUCGGUGAUGCCGCGGGGUGGGGUGGGGGAGGGGGGGUUGGAGUCGCCAGUAUCUUGGAGAGCGGAAGAAAGCCCCAGCUAGCCUCGUUAGGCUAAGAGGAUGAAAUAGACGGCUAGGAAAGAACGUGUCCUCCCAUUUCUAGAGGACGAAGUUGCCAAGAAGGAAGAAGCAGGUUAACGGAAAUCUUGACCGCGAUGACAUGGUUUUAAUUUGGCAGAAAUAUUUUAACAAUUAUAUGUACCCAAUUAGUGCCUCACAAUAUGAUCAUGGUAAGGAGGGGGAUGCAGCGAGAAACGAAACAGCAAGGAUGCAUGGUUUGGAAUGAUUCUCGGCCUUCUGCCUUUUUCAUAUACCAACCAGCUGUUGGCAAGCUAGUUCCAAGCUCGCGAAUAGUUGGCCAUCAACGACAAACUUUCCAGUCAUUUCUCGAGUUUCAGCUGAACAGUCCAAGUGACUCAGAGUGUGUAUCAAUUGAACAACCGGAGUGACUCAAAGAGGCUAGAUCACUCCUGAUGCCUCCUAAUUCUACGCAUAAAAUAUUGUAUAGCAGAGCCUAUAAGUUGCAUGAUACAUUUCCAAGGUUGAGGAUAAUUAGCUAGCCCGUACCCAGUGACAGGCACAUUAGGAUUGCUGUCCUUUUGUCUAUAUAUCUACCAAUAGCACAUAGCACUAUAUAUUGUCCCACAUAUGCAUGUAUGCCAUGGGACCACAUAGUAUUUAGAAAUAUUUACCCUAAAGUAAUAUUAAGAAUAUUUUCAAUAAUCUAGUAUUUAUGAUACUUUAUAUAGUACUUUCCACUAUUCUUUUGACACAUUGUUAAAUUAAACCAGUACAACACGUUUUUAGCAAGCACAUGUAACUUAUCAGUCCCAGUCCCACUAAUGUAGUAUGAAUUCAUUUACAACUUUCAUUGCAUCACACCAAUUUGCUAGUAAAUUUGUUCCCAAUGAUUACUCCAUCAAGUACAACCAAAUAUGCAUGUUCGAGCUAGAAGGCUCUUAAUUUAGCACUAACCUUUGUUUGAUCUCCAUAUAUAAUUUGAUAUUUUACACAACGCGUUUAAUAACCCUCUCAAAAUUAACCUAGACGCGGCCUCAGUGAUUAGUGAUGUGUGAUGGCUCCUGGACCUACAAAUCCACAAUGAGGAGGAUGGCUCUUGUUAGCUUGGACUUACGUCCCUCCAGUGCAGAAACAAGCAGGAAAUGCGACAUGGUGCGUGUUAUCUUUGUGCCGGCAAGGUUUAAAUUUGCCCCCUACUGGUUUGGAACGGUUCAUCCACUCUGCGCAUUUUUCAUGACCCCCAAGCUUGGUAUUUUAGGUUCCGUCGAGAUGAGGGAGCUUGCUUAAUUUCAUGCGCAUCUUCAGGAUUUAAUUUUAACAGGCGUUUCAAGAGAGUCUUGCAGAUGUCAAUUGGAUGGAUGUGGCUAUGCUAUUCCCGAUGCCACCUAAUUCGACACAAGUUGUCCAAACAUGGAUGUAGAGAAACUAUAUAUACUCCCUCCAUCUAAUUUCGGUAGUCAUAUUUUAUCUUGGCACAAUGACCAAGGAUAAGUAAUUGUACUUUAUCAUCCAUUUUAACAUGCUACUAGUUAUUCCUCGUAAACAAGCGAUUCAUUAAUAGUAAAGUUCUCGAUGCUCAUAUAGCCAAUCUUGUGUGGAAAAGUAGAGAAUCACACAUUCAAUCUGAUAAAGUCAUUAAGAGGAUAGGUGGCUGGAUUGAAAUAUGCCUAUCAAAAAAUAAAUCUUUAAGAUUUGGAAAUAUUCCUAUCAAAAUAGAUAGAGUAUUUCAAUGUUAAUUAGAGAAAGAGUAAAAUACAGUAGCGGCCCUUAAACUUGCGGGCGGAUGUCAUCCAGGUCCACUAACUUGCAAAUUGUGUAAUUAGGCCACUAAACUUUCUAAAUGUACCAUCGCCGGUCCAAAAUGCCGUUUGACCGCGGUCGCGCCAACGUGGCAUGCCACGUGCAUAGCUGAGCUGGCCCGCACCGUGCGUGACACACCGCCCACGCCUGGUCGUUUUUCAUCCAGGUCCCUCUCUUUUUCUCAUUUGGUUUCCACCACUGCUUCUUCUUCCCCGGAGCGCCCAAAAUCUGAGCGGCGACUAGGGAUGCGAUUGAGGGCAAGGUUUGGCGGCGGAGCAGGUCGCGGCAGGUUCGGCGGCGGAGCAGGUCUCGGCAGGGUUCGGCGACGGAGUAUGUCAUGGCAGGGUUCACUACUAGAAAAAUCAUUUGUUGCUACGAAAAAAAUCGUGGCAUCAAUACUAAAAUUGUGGCAAUAGAUCCAUGUUGCCACAAUUUUAAAAUCGUUGCUAGCCGUGGUAAUAAAUAGCGUCGUAAUAGGUUAUGGCAACGAUUUUUAUUUUGUGGUAAUAAAUUUAGAUGUUGCCACGGAAUGGAUGUGGCAAAAAGUCAUAUUGCAACACUUCACGUCGUUGUAAUAAAAAUUAUUGCCACCACUCCAUAUGUGGCAUUAGUUUUAUGUACCAAACUAAAAGUUUAAAUAUUAAUCUAUCAUCCUAUCUAUUUUAUCUAUUUAUUUUUUUUGAUAUUGUGUCUUGGCUAGGAUUCGAACCCAAGACCUAUCCUUCACACAUGCUCUCCUUUACCAACUCACCUACGCAUCAAUUCUGUUGAAAAUGCAUAUCGUUCCAUUUGAGCCUACGUAACUGAGAUUUGAAUCAUAGAUUUGAAUAUCUAAAAGAUUUCAAAUGAAAAGGUUAUCACCUAUAAAAUUGUAGAUCUCGUUGAGAGCUAUAAUUUCCAUAUAAAAUUUGUCUCAAUCCGUGUUCAUAUGAAAAAAUUAAGUUAAAUUAUGAGACAACAAUUUUUUUAUUGCAACGAAUUUGUUGAUCGUGGCAACAAAAAAUAGUGAAAAAAAGUACCAUGUACUAUGUAAAUUGCCACAAAAAUUAAAAUUGUGGCGAUAGAACAUGUUUUUUGCAACAAUACGAUUUUUUGUGGUGAUAUCUCAUUUUCUAUUGCAACAAAACUACUAAAUAAAACAACGAUUGUAGAUCGUUGCAAUAAAAUAUAAUUAUUUACCACGGAAAAAUUAUCAUUGCAAUAGUACAAUAUAUUGCUACGAAUUAUUUUUUAUAGUAAUAAUUUGGUGGCAAUAGCUCAAUUAUCUUGUAGUGGUUCUUCGGCGGAGUAGGUCUCGGCGGGCUUCGGCGGCAGAGGCGAUGGCAGGCUCGAGCUCCAGUAGGAGCACAACACGGUCGGCGACCGAAAUAUCCAGGCAAGGUAAAACCUUUCCAUCUCCCAUUCGGUACCUGGAGAGUAGUUUGUUGAAGUCAGUUGGUUUAUUCAUUUUGAAUGUGCAGAAUGGUGGAUGCAAAUUAUGGCAGUGGUAUGAACCAGGGACAACGCUGUAUUUGCAGCAGGUUUUGAAUGAUUUAGUCAGCACUGUUCGUGAAGUGAAGACAGAGAACUCUGAAAUUAGAGCAUCCCUUGCCAACUCAAGAGCUGUGAUUGAUGGACUUGUCACUGAACGCAAUGUCUAUGAAGCAAAGAGCAUGGGACAAAAAGAGGAAUGUGGCUCAUUUGCUGAAAUGGCCUGUAGAAUCAAGAUGUUAGAAGAGAGUAGAUGAUUUAUGUUGUCAGUAAUUGUUGGUUUUGUAGUAGUCAUAUUUGCACUAUUGCUUCUUAGGUAGAUACCAAAGUUUGAUGGAUAUGGAUGUAUUGGUGCUGGUGUGUUUUGUGUCAGCUAAUAAGGCACUUGAGUGACCUUUUGUGUAUGCUGAAUCUGAACCAUGUAUGAAAAAUGUAUGCUAAAUGCUAUUAUGUGAAGCUGAAAUAUGAGAUUUUGUUCUGAAAAUCGACAUCUCUAAUUUUUUUUCAGCAGACAACUGUUAUUUUGUUCUAGCUUAUGAAAUGUCUUGUAAAACGUCAUCUAGAAAUAGCAAACAUGCAUCAUGCAUUACAGGCAGUAAUUUCCCAUAUUCAUCACAAUACCAAAUUUCUGGCAUUUAGUAGUAUUUCUAGUACUACAUUCAGUGAACACAUGUCUGGCAUCACAAAAUUCCCAUGUUCUAUCAUAAAAUAGCCGCAAGUUUGGCAGCACAAAAUCAAGCAAGCAUGCCCAUGAAAUCCAUACAGGGUUCAAAUUUUGGCAUAACAAAUUACUACUAGCACUAAAGGACCAUCAAACAUAUGGUCUAACACAUAUCACUUGUUUGUAGCAGUAGCUUUCUUCCCGGGAGCUCUGUUCUUUGAAGUAGUAGCAGCACUCCUGAAACUCCUUUAGUUGUACACUUCCUUUUGUUGGCCCUAGAUUUUCCCUCUUUUGUUGCUGUGGUCAUAGGGGUAGAUACUACAGCUGGCUAGUUUGAAAGGAUGUACUGGUUAUCUGGGAGAGGACCAUGUGUAGUUUCCAUUUGACUCACUUGUGAUGAUUCCUCAAACAUCUGGGCAACCAUAGGAUUAGGAACUUGUGAUAGUAAUUGGUCAUAUGCAGACUGAGAUUGGGUCAGCACCUACAAGUUUACAAAGGUAAUUAAGAUAGAGUUAUAAUAGGGUAGUGAUAAUAGAGUGAUAAGAUAGAGUAUUGUUUCAUUACCUCUGCUGGUUCUUGCUCAGAUUCAUGCCACUCUUCUGUAGAACUUGCACCUGGGAUCCUACUUGUCUUCACUUUGGGUCUGAGUCCAGCCUUUCUCAGUGGGCACCCUUUCUUGUUAUGUCCAGGCUCUUUGCAGUAAGAGCAGUGCAUCUCCACACCAUGCUUGGACAUUUUAGACCCAUUUUUUCCCUGUACCUCAUGUGGUGCUUUCCUCCUAGACUUAGGUGGUCUGCCAACCUUUUUCUCAUAUAUUGGAGGCUUCACUUCUGGCCCAUUCACCUGAGCCCACUUAGUCAUAUCAUUGCAGGGCCAAAUGUUAAAUGCAUAUGCAGGGUGGAAGAACUGACUCAGCACUAAUUCUUCUCACUCCUUAAGCAUGAGAUAGCAUGGUUACAAGGGAUGCCUGUCAGAUCCCAUCUCCUCCAGUCACAAUGUUUAGCACUAAGGUCAACAAUGUACUAAAAUUCCUAUCUUCCACCUGAAAAAUCCCUUUCCCGGCUGGCAAAACAUAACAUGUGUUUGCCAUAUCUGCAUUUUUCAGUACUUUCAAUAUCAUUUGCUAAUUGGACUAACUUUGCAAACCCUCCAAGUGUCAUCUUAUCAUUUGCUCUAAAAGUUUCAAUGUACUUCUCAGAUAGCCAUUUAGCAGUACACCUUUUCAGCACCCAUUCCUUCUGACAUUUAUGCUCCCCAAGAUAUGUCUUCACCAUCAUUGACUUGGACCUGCUAUCAAAUGAUGCAUAUAAGUUCCAUGGGCAACCCUCAACACAAUGGGCCCUAAGUCUUUUUUGCUCAUUCCUAGGCAUCUUGAUGUCCACUCUAGCCUUCAAACUGUACUCUGUUAUGGCCUUUCUAAGUACUUCUACUGAAGGAAACACCAUGCCAACCUUAAAAACUGGGUUCUUAACAUCCUCUGCCAUGAAAGCCUUAAACUUUAAUCUCACUUCACCAUCAUCAUCUGAAUCUGGGAGCUGCAAAUCUUCAUCAUCAGUGGAAACUUCCUCCCCAUCAGAAUUUCUAACUACUAUUUCUUUCCCCUUCAACUGACUGCCCUUAGCUUUCUUCCAAAACUUUGCCUUGCAGUCAGAUAAGUCUUCAACACCCACAUCAACAUUGUCAACAUACAAGUCAUCAUUUGCAUCUGAUAUAUCAUAGUCACUAUCCAUAAAAUCUGGGUCAUCUUCUAAGCUACCAUCACUGUCACUGUCAUCUUAUUUGUUUGGCACCUUCCUAUCAGCAGUUGACAUCUUCCUAGGACUAAGCACCUUAGGCAAUUCACUAAUAGGAUUAGCUACUACAUCAUCCCAAUCUACACCUGCAAUUGUGUCACCCUGAUCCAAGUAGAUAAUAAAAUUCUUAACCUUGUGCACAACUGAUUUCAUCACUUCAAAGUCAGCCCUAGUNNNNNNNNNNNNNNNNNNNNNNNNNNNNNNNNNNNNNNNNNNNNNNNNNNNNNNNNNNNNNNNNNNNNNNNNNNNNNNNNNNNNNNNNNNNNNNNNNNNNNNNNNNNNNNNNNNNNNNNNNNNNNNNNNNNNNNNNNNNNNNNNNNNNNNNNNNNNNNNNNNNNNNNNNNNNNNNNNNNNNNNNNNNNNNNNNNNNNNNNGAACUAGAAAAAAAGGAGAUUUUUAUCUUUCGCAUACUUAGGAUUAUUAUUAUGUAAUUUACCUUUGGUUGGAUAGUUUUGCAACUAUUAUAUCUAUUUGCACAAAUACCUCGAUGGUUCCUAAUCGUUAAUAGUCUGAUAAGUAUAUCUUGGGUUGGUUCGCAAAUAGGAUCCCUAAUAGUGGAAGAUAGGAGAUUCACAUCAGAAAACAUAAGUAAACGAGCUUCCGCCUAAGCUUCCAAGGAUAAAGGUAGAUGAACAACCAUUUGAUCCCCAUCAAACUCCGCAUUCACUACUACACAAACGAUUUUUUUAUAUGAAACCCCAUGAUUUUUGCAAACGGACCAUAACUUGCCGUGUCUGGAAAAAUCGAGCGGCAUUUUUGCAUACGGCUCCUUAAGACGUCCAGAUGGAAAAAUCGAUUUUCCCAUACGGGCCACUUAAAAUGUCCGCAUGCGGACCACUUAAGAGCCCGCAUGGAAAAAUCGAUUUUUCCAUAUAGACGUCUUAAGGAGCCAUAUGCAUAAAUAAAAAUUUAAAAAUUUAAAACUAGUUUAUCUCACUCAUAUGAUCUCCAAAUUGGAUGAUUAUUUUUCCUAAAUGUUUCUAAAAUCAUGCUCUAUCAUGUUAUUGUGUUAUUGCUGCUAUUAUUUUGGCCAUUUUUUCUUGUGACUUCGUUUUAUCAAUUAAAAAUUUGAAUUUCAAAACUUCAAAUAAUAUUUUGAAGCAGUAAAUAAUUUUAGCUGAAAAAGUCAUCCAAUAACAAAGUUGUAUAGCUCAUCAAGAUCUAUAACUUUUAUUUUGGUCAUUUCUUCAUCCCGAUAAAGUUAUAGUAACAUUUUCAAAAAAAUUACAUAUCUCUCUUAUAUUUUAUAAAACCAUAUAAGAUAUGUAAAUUUUGUGAACAAUGUUACUAUCACUUUGUCGGAUGAAGAAAUGACUAAAAUAAACCAUUUAUAGAUAUUGACGAGUUAUACCACUUUGUUGUUGAUGACUUUUUCACCUGAAAUCAUUUAGCAUUUCCAAAUGUUGUCUGACAGUGUCCUAAUUUGAAAUUCCAAUUCCCAUUGUGGAAACAAAGUCAUAUAGAAAAAUGACCGAAACAAAAGUUGUAGAUCUUGAUAAAGUGAUACAACUUCGGGUAUCGAUAGUUUUUUCAUUUGAAAUCAUUUACUACCCGAAGAAAUUAUGUGAAUUUCUUAUAUUUUAAAAUUCGAAUUUUAGAUAGUUCGAUCAAACUCGGAUGGAGAAAUGACCAAAAGAAAAAUGAUAGAUCUCAAUGAGUUCACAACUUUGUUUUAGACAACUUUUUUACAUGAGUUGAUUUAGUACCAUAAAAAUUCGAUUCGAAUUUCUCAUAUUUUUGCAUGCGGGCCCUUAAGAGGUCCGCAUCCAAAAAUGCCACCCCAAUUUUUUCAUCUCUGUCGACGAGUGGUUCUCGUGGACCGGAUGAGUUGAGUAUUGGGGUACGUUGGAACGAGGAUCUACAUAGUACGACAUCAAGCAGACAAAAGACAAGGAUUAUACUGGUUCAGGCCCCUUAUCAGGUAAUAGCCCUAGUCCAGUUUAUAUGAGAUUAAAGAUGGAGAACCACAUAUUACAAAGAAAGUAGACGAAAUAGACGAUACCGACAAGAUCGUAGUCGGUGUACCCGACGAGAUCUCCCGGUGACUUGGCUCCGUAUACUCCGUCUUCGUGAACUAUGGUGGGUGUGUAGACGAUAAAAUUCGAUGCCUUGCACCCCUCACUGGGGGUCCCUUUUAUACCGUGGAUCAUCUUGAUCCCUAAGUAAGGCCUGGAGAUAUUUGAUCUGGUACGGUAUAAAAGAAUCUCUAUCCCUUUCAAGUAGGACUUUGGUAAAUCACUUAUCUCGUAAAGAUAUUUCCGUAAUUUGGAACAAAUCCCUACAACGUAUACGGAAACGAUCCGUAUACGUGAAGGUAUACCAUAUCAGUAUAUUCUAUAAGUCGUAGGAUAUGAGGUAUGCCUUAUCUAUAACCCUGACAAUCUCCCUCCACUCUCUUUUCCCUCCCACCACUUCAAUUUUUUCCAACCCAUCUCCUCUCUCUUUCCCCUUCUAUUAUUUUACUCUCCCCCCUCUCUCUCUCUUUCUCUCCUCUCCUCUCUCUUUUUAUUCUGUCCUCUCCCUCUCCCUCUCCGAGAGCGGGCGCCAGUGGCCGUGAUGGCGUUGGCGGGUGCGGAUCCGGUGGCGCCGCCCUCAGGUGGGCCGGAUCUGCUGCCCUAGGGAGCGGCUCCGGCUAGGCGACGGCAGACGCGCAGCGGGGCGGCGGACCNGCGAAGUGGCCGCAACCCGGGUGCCGGUCUGUGAUUAUUGUUUUUGAUAUUGGAGAUUAUCAUCGAAGUGUUUNGGGAUAAACAAUUUUCAGGUGAUGAACAGGGUUUGCUGUUUUGUCGGGACCGGUCAGACCAGGCGGAGGUUGCCGGUCAGACCGGUGCUAUGUGUGCGGUCAGAACGGCCAGGCCCGUGGUCUGACCGGCCGACGCUGUGUUGGUUUCGGUUUCGGGUUGUUUCUUUGGAUAUCCGUGAUUGUUUCAUGGUUAUGGCUUCUAGAUGGAUACUAUACGUAUGUAAUACUGUUGUUUGCUACUAAUGAGUCAAGUUGGAGUUAGCUUGGUCUUGGAAUAUGGUUUCUUUGUUUGUUUCAUGUGUAGGUGACUCGAUGCCUCGGGAGAGUAUUUGCGGUGAUGGACCGGGAGUCGGCUUGGUGGUAAGACGAUGGAGGUUGAUGCAUGUGGUUGAUGGAGAUUCCAUAUGGCAUAUGAUGGAGGUAUUGUGUGCGUAUGGGAUGCGGAGUCGAAUUUGGAAGGAGUCCAAAUUUGAUACGAUUGGUUAUGUAAAGUUUGUUUCUUGUACUAGAGGGUUUACUAAGGUGUUUAGGACGCUUAGUAUGAGUUUGGUUCGUGGCUUUAGCUGCCUACCUCAUGUAUAAAUAGAGGGGGAGCGUGAGGCUUCCCGGUAUCCCUUUUCGUGUCGCGCGUCAUAGCGUUGUGUCUUACGGUUUCGAGUUUAGUCGACGAGCUUUGUAAGGAGUGCUGUUGUCGCAACUUUGUAAACACAGAGAGAAGUAAUAAAGUUGUCAUCUACUCUGAGAGGUCUUCAAUUUGUGUGUCACCGGGUUUCGGCGGUCUAACAGACAACGCAUCGACGGUCUAACCGGCGACACGUCGGCGGUCAGACCGGCGGCAUCGCGGCGGUCAGACCGGCAUCGGCAACAGGAGCUGAUCUCGGCGGUUAGACCGGAGAUUCAAUCUCGGUCAGACCGACGGCAACCAGGCGGUCAGACUGGCGCAAUUACUUCGGUCAGACCGCGAUCCGUCGAAUUUGAGGGUAACUUUUAUUUCUGCUAAAAAUUUUCGGUUUUUGGGUAUACCAACCAUUCACCCCCCUCUGGUUGGCUUAGUUAGUUGUUGUGAUUCGAUAGUACAUUGUUGAGAUGUUACUUGGCUCUUUGGCAUCUUCUUAGCUAUUGGACUGGUGUGUGUACCGACAAUUCACACAAUGGUUACAAGAUGUUUUCACAAUGAGAAAUAAUAAUAACUGAUAUCCUGUGCAAAACCCAGGACAGUAUCUGCACAUCCAUAUUGCUACCUGAAAAUUGCCGCAAAGACAAUGCGAGAAGUACUUGAAAAGGAACUAAAGGAUGCAUAAAUAGUCGGUCAUAUUUGCUGCUGGGAUUGCUGAGUACAUAGCAGCAGCUGCCAAAUGGUAAUCGUGAGCAAGGCCAUUCACAGUUGUAGGCUUGUAGCCUGGGGAAUGACACUGAUCUUACCAGUCUCUGAGAAUCUGACAACCCGGUCUAAGAGUGGGAGGUGUUCGGAAUUUCACCAUGUUUUUACCCUUACGAUUUGUGUUUUGUUCUUUUGCUGACCUUGCUAUCCAUGUAUCAUGUAGAAGACAGACUGAUCUAAAUUGUUUUACCACCAUCUUAGGUGGCAGAUUGCAGUCUAUUGCAAGGUGCUGAAUGUUUCUGUGAUGGUGAUGGGACAAAUGGCAUGAGUGUGUGACUGCGUCACAGAGCUGAAAAAUUGUAAAUAAGAAUACACCAUUUAGCGAAAAUGUCAGGAGCCUGGGUAUCAAAAUUAAGCUUAUUGAUUUCAUUGCAGAAAUCUAUAUUUCUUCUUUAUUCGUGCCUCUUGUAUCUUUGUGUCCCAUUGUUGAUCGCGUACAGAUCAUUUUGUACCAAAUAUAAGAGAGGUUGCAAUGGACCAUUAAUCAAGAGAGGGGUAAGCUAUGGAAUAAAAGAUAUUGUAACAAAUGGCAGUAGAGUAAUUAACUAGCUAGUGAAAUAUUCGGAUUAUCGUUGACUCAAAUACUUAAAAUGUAAAUCUUCUGAGGUAUUGAUUUAGGCAUCGAUUAGAUCUACACGGGAAAAAAGAUCAGGUUGUGUCUUCUUUCUCUUCUUCCACAUCGCUUCAUUCUCGUUCUAGGGUAUGAAUUGCGGUUCACCAGGAAAAAAAAGAGGGAGAAGCGUUGGAAUGGUUGAGAAUUGAACAGGAGAUGAGAUCAGCUCGACAAUGGCAAGGGGAAGCGCAUCGGCCAAACAUGAGGUAAAUCAGGAAGAUUAUUAAUUUUGGAUCAAUAUUAAAAUCUAGGUGCAUGUAUUAUAGAAUAAGUUAUUUAAUUCCUAAAACAUGUAAUUUUUUUGUUAAUUAAUGAAUUCUACAAAGCAUGUAAAUCACUUAAUGGAGGUUCACUGAGCGAACAUGUACUUAAGAAGAAAAAUGUAAAUGAUAAAAAAUAACACGUAGAAAAUAAGGUACUGAUGUGGUACCUACGUACUUAUCGGCGGGCCAAUUCCCUACAUGCCCAUGUGAUUUCACCCAAUUCCUUCUACGCCUCUAAAAUUUGUUUGAUCUCUUAUAUAUCGCUGAGUUUUUAUUUGGAUCCCUUACAUACCCAUUUCGUUAGUUGACCAUUAGUUUGACCAUUAGUUAUUGUAGAAAUUAUUUUAUUGUCCUUGGUAUAUUGUUAAAAGCUAGAAAUGUUUUAUGUGUAAAUUAUUUGAGUUGUGAAAACCAAUAAGGAAUAAAUUAAUAAAUAUUUGUUAUGAAUAUUUAAAAAUAAAACAUUAUUUCAUUAAAAUAAAAAAGAUUUAUUGUAAAAAAAGUUCUGCAUAAAAUUUGAAAAUUACUUUUCAACAAAUAUUUAGUGAAAAAAGAUUCGUUGUGAAAAAACAAAGGGGAUGUAAUUAGUUUAUCACAAAUUAGAAAAUAAAUUUAAAAAUUUUUAAAUAAAUUUCAGAUCAAAUUUGAUGAAUUUCGUAUAUCUUCCCACAAAUUUAAACCUAAAUAACAUUUAGUUUUUGCUCUUAAUUUUCUGGUGAAACUAAUGUAUGGAUUUAAUCAUAAUUUUUAAAAAAUAAAAAAUAAUAAGUUUUAUUUUUUAAGUUGAGCAUUAAAUGAUUAUAUUGCUUGUAUUUUGUAUAAGUUAAUUUUUUUGAUAUGAAAAUUUAUUGGGUAGGUACCACAUAUCGCAGGAGGGCCGGCCGUCUGCCUGUAAGCAAACGACUAUGAAGAUUGCCGAUCUUCGUAGGCAGGACGGCCGUCCGCUUGCGAAGACAAUUUUCGCAGGCGGACGUUAGCUAGUCAGGUCCGUCUGUGAAAAUAGGAAGUGGCCGCCUGCAAAAAAAAAACUUCCGCCUGCAAAGAUAGGUAGAAAAUUUUAAAUUUUGAUACAAUAAUAAUUUGCCCAAAAAUUACUUUUUAAUUAUUUAAUAGAAAUUGAUGCAGGAAGAUUAUUAGUAAUUAUCAAACAUAUGGUACUUAGAAAUCUACAUAUAUUGCAUAAGUGAAAAGUGUUGUCAAAAUAUAUAUAUUACAAUAUUUUUUUACAUUGUCACUUAAAAUACGCCAUCUAGUUACAUUAUGGCAUAGCAGUGUUCCACUCCUGAAGUUCUUGAAUUCGUCACUUGUAGCUCGGGCACCCUCUGGGUUGAAGAAUUCUCCUCGCACAUGACAGCACUCACGGUGGAUGAAGUGGCACAGAUCGCGCUGGACAUUUGUGAUGCCUGUAUCGUCAAAGCUUGUUCGAAGUUCUAUUCUUGGCAACUGCAUGCAUUGAAGAAAAAUAAUAUAUUAGUAUUAUAAAUAUGUGAAGCUGUCUAGUCCAUAGUCUAGAGAUUUACAUCCUCUGCGUUAACCCUGUACCUCCCAUUAACCCUGAGGAAUUCGCACGCAUAAUACCUGCAGAGGACAAUGCCUCUAGGUUGCUUGUGAUACUUCACGACAUAUCAUAGAAGAAAAUAGUUAAAUUUUGCAAUUAGUGAAAUAAUUGGAAUACAUUAAGUGAGUGAAGUCUUACCGGCUAAUAUGUAUGUACUAGCAGCUUCUCCCUUGUUUGGGUCUGUUCUCCACCCUAGAACUUGUAGUAGUUGUAUGCACUGUAUGGAUGUCGUACCAUUUCGCAUUAAGGAGGAUAUUUAAUUAUAAUACAUUCAUAUAAAAAAUGCAGAGUCCGAAUCACUUAUUACUGUAAGAUUAUUAGAAAUUCUUUGUAUAAGUGGUGACUGUAAUCGAGACUGGUCCUGGACUCCGAGUUACACUCGAAGUCAACUUGGUUUCUUUUCUUUCGCCCAAGCUAGUAUCUCUGCAAACGAAUACACACAAAACUCAUUGUGUAGCAACGUUUAUUCGAAUAUAUAACAAGUAAAUCUAAUGUAGAACAUAUGCACCUUUGGUGGAAUAAUAUAUAAGGUAGUCAUGGUUAUAUCCGAGCGAGUUGUGUCCUCAUCAGCUAGCCAACUGAUGAACCGCAAAAACAAUAUCAAGUCUUGUGCAAUUGGCUAAAUACAUUAGUGCUCCAAUGGCAUUUAAGUAGGGAAUUUUGGGUCCCAUUAUUUCCUCAUUAUCUUCCUUGGGUUUUAAUGUGUCCUUAUAAGCUUCUAUGGAUCGAACUACCAUGGGGGUUUUCAAAGGAUGGCAUUUGUUCAUAUUGAAGUUACCAAGGACUGUCUUUGUGUAGGGAGAUCGGUGCAUAAAUACUCCUCCAUGGAGGUGCUCGAGUUGCUGGCCCAAGCAAAACUUGGUUUUCCCCAAGUCCUUCAAUCAAGCUCGAUAUUAAGACAAGCCAUUGCUUAUUUAGGAGAGAAUCUAUUCUAUACUGCUGAGUUUGUUCGAGUUCAGCGAUUUGCCAUCGACAUUGUCUUUUAUUUAAUGUCCUCUAUGGUGGCAAUGAUAUUUAGAUCAUAGACAUAGACCGAGAUGAUAUACAAAAUCCAUUCAGGGAUUUCUUUGAAAACACAUGUGGACAAUCAUAAUUGUUUGAAUAACCUCUCUUCUAGAGAUAUCUACUUAACUCUUUGAACCACAACCUUCCGGAUUGUUUCAAUCCAUACCAUGAUCGCUGCAUGUGCACACUAUACAUGUUGCAGUUUCCUUUUGAAUUUGUGAUCUUGUGUCCUUUAGGGACUCUCAUAUAAAAUUCCAAAUCUAACGACCCAUAAAAGUAUGCCGUCAAUACAUCCAUCAACUGCAUGCAUGGGUCCACAUCCUUCAUGAACAGAACAUAUGGAGGUGAUUAAUUCUCAUUGUUCUAAGCUAAAAAAAAGUAGAGAAGAGAUGGGAUCACAUAGCUAAUUUUUGGGAGGCCUGCAUGCCGUAGGCUAGCGAAACAACCAGGACCACCCAAUUAGCAUCUAUUUAUAGCAACUGUAUAAGAGCCCCUCGACGAAAAAGUCUACCAACGAUCUCCAUGCUGCACCGUGCAUCUAUGCCUAGUUUUCUUACCCUCCCUCCACCAUAAAUACGCACCCAUCUGCAACAUAGAUCACCAAACAUAUCGACCAAUCCCUCUUCCAGUCAAGAAAAAAGGAAGAUUACACCAACAAACAAACUAGCUAGCCAAUGGCCUCCUUGUCAUCUUUUCCGGCUCGCCGUGGCGGUGGCGGCACUAUUGGUUGUUGGCUCAUGUGCCACUGAGCUCACCUUCAAGGUCGCUAAGGGCUCUAGCGCCAAAAGUCUAGAGCUUGUCACUAAUGUUGCCAUCUCUAAGGUGGAGGUCAAGGAGAAGGGCGGCAAGGACUGGGUGGCGCUCAAGGAAUCGUCGUCUAACACCUGGACGCUCAAAAGUGAGUCGCCGCUCAAGGGCCCCUUCUCUGUCCGCUUCCUUGUCAAGAAUAGCGGCUACCGUGUCGUCGACGAUAUCAUCCCUGAAAGCUUUACAGCUGGCUCUGAGUACAAGAGUGGAAUCCAACUCUAAGUAACAGACAUGUGUACUCUUGUUGGGUCACAUGCGAAAUAUGAACAUCUAAAUAAUCCUCUCUUAAAAGAGAUCGUGUCAUGUUUGAGUGAGCAAAUAAUUAUUAUUUUUGGUUAUUUUGUUGUAAUAGGCCGAUGGCAACAUAAGGCAUACAUGUGUCCUUCCAAAAUAUUGCUGCGGAGCUGUAUGUGAGCAUUGUUUGGAAUAUAUGUCAUUUAUAUAAGAUAUAUGGAAAAAAGUAUAUUUGGUCAACUUUCAUUAAGAUGAUUGCAUCUGUUUGAUUUUCCAAAGUUUUAGUACAUACUUAUGUCCAAACCAAUGUAAUCCAUUUCACUUAUUUUAGCUUGUCAAAAAAUUUGUAAAGUCACAUCUACACUUUUUUUUCAUUUUCUAAAAACAAAUAGUUGAAUUGACUAUACUAUGACCUAAAACUAUAAGCAUUAAGCAUACUGGUACAUCGUUUACCUUACGAGAGAAUACAUUAUAUACCACUGUGUUUGUCACAGGUCUAUAGUUUGCUAUUGACUUUGUCACGUUCUACAAUAUGCCAUCGACUUUUCCUUAACUUCUACGACUUACCAUCACCAUCUGGUUAUCCUUCGUGAGAAAUGUAUAAUUUUAUCCAAUGACCAAAAUACCCCUAUAACAGAUACUUCCAAAAUUUGGAAAAAAAAUUUGAAAUAUCAUAUUGUAAACAUCCAAAAUUUGGCCAAAAACUUAAAAUCUGAUAUUUUAGAAUUUUUGUCUACAUUUUGGAAGUUUUUGUCCUGGAGGUAUUUUGGUCAUUAGAACAAAAUUGUACAGUACUAAUGGAGGCUAACCGGACAGCAAUGGUAAAUCAUAGAAGAUAAGCAAAAGUCGAUGGUAUAUUAUAUAAUGUGACAAAGUCAGUGGCAAAUCUUAGACAUGCAAUAAACUCAAUGGCAUUGCCGGUCUGAUUGGCAGAGUCCGAGUCAGACUCCAUUUUCAUCGGGUCUCUGGUUUCCUUACUUGGGAAGGCAUGUUUCGGAUUUCCAUUGGUUUCUAUCCCGAGUUGGACAUGGAGAAGGGCUUAUAGAGGGCAAGACCAACCCCUAUAUAAGGAACAAGGCCGGUUCAAUUGUUACCUGACAAACACACAAUCAAUAGAAUCGUUCUUUUACUUUAAUUUUAGCCAUGUUUUCUACUUUACCCUAAUUUUAGUUCAUCUUUAUCGAUUUGCACCGUUUGCCCAUAAAGAGGUGCCGUACUCAAAAAAUCAGGUUUGUCCUAAAAACCUUCCGUUUGCCCACAAGAUGGAUAGUUAUCCUCAUAUUGAUUUAAAUCGGCCUAGAGGCUGAUUUUGAUCUCUAAAUCGGCUUCGCUAGCCGGUCUAGCUUUCUUUUUACAAAACCCAUCUUGAUUUGGUUGUUUGGCUAGAUCGGGGUAGUUGCUGACUCCAUAUCCCCGUAAGGCAUUUAGGUGCUGCGAUCGUGCUUGUUGACUUCUCACAAAAAGUUGCCAACAGUAACAACAAAGAUAAAUAAUGUGAUGGAAGAGGGGAAUGUGCAGCACACCGUUUCAAAAUUGAUGAUUGAUAGUUGGUGACGAUUUCAUGGCUACAACAUCUCCAAUGUUGUACUCUCUCCAUCCUAUAAUAUAAGAAAUUUUAGAGAGAUAUGACACAUUUUAAGACAACGAAUCUAGAUGUGUCAUAUCCCUUAUAAUAUAGGAUGGAGGGAGUAUAAGUGAAUGUUAUCCAAUAAAUUCAACCAACUUUCGUAAUCAUACGUGUACCUUUUUAACUUUUUUAUGCACACACGCACAAAAAAAAAAGUGGUUACGUGUAAACAACUAUAGACACCACGAUCGAUUUGAACUAGAGCAGAUGGAGUGAAGGACUCCAUAUGUCCACCACCUACCUCUGAAAUCGAGUCAAAAAGAUAUGCGCUAAUUCAGAUAUGACAACCUAUUGUAACUAUUAAGCAGAGUAAAUAAUGUAUUAUCACCUCAGGAUUUAAGCAUAUUAAACAGGGCAGCAAAUCAUCACAUCAUAGCUAUGUUCUCAAACAUCUCAAGAUUCUAUGAAAAAUACUCUGUUCUUCCUAUGAUAUGUGUCAUGCAAUGCAAUCCAUGGGCUUGUAAAGACCUUUCUCUAUUAUUUAUUGCAGCAUAUAUGAUAAUAAGUGGUGUAAACAAACAACCAACUUCUCCAAAAGUUCGAGGGCCUUUCACUAUAUAUAUACAUGAGUUUCUCUGCAUUUCAAAUAAGCUGUACACCAAGGACAUCGUCUCUCUCAUUUACCAAUAUGUUUAGUUCUCUAGAUACUAUAACUAGAUUAAGAUUACCGGAUUAACUUAAAAAUCUGGUAUGCUGAUGUCACGAGAGCUUGCAAUUAAGAAAUACAGAUAUUAAACUAGUGUUCGACCAUAGAAGUACAAGCCAUUCAUGGACUAUAUAAAUAGGCCAAGGCUAGUGCUCAGCCAAAAGCUGAAGAUACUUUAACUCGUAUUCUAAUAUUUAUCAUAUUGAAAACCCUUCCAACAUGCAUGUGCUGCCUUGUGUAUAAACAUCUUCAGAUACGUACACAUGAUUAACUUAACUAGUUUAGGCUUAAGAGGCAUUGGGAAUCCGGGUGUAGCUACUCCCACAUAGUGCAUUACGUAAGUUGCAUUCUUCACUUGUUCGCAGUGAGUUUGGUGUUGUUUCAGGAUUCACGCUGGACCAUUCCUAUUAAAAACAACAAACAUUCAUUCAUAUUGAUGUGUAUAUCAGAGUUGCCAGAGUAAGUGGUUUGGCAUGCAUCUACAAAGUAUUGUUUACACAGAAAUUUUGCAACUCCUAGGCAAAGUUCUCAUAUCCAUCAGACUCUUUGGUGAUUUCCAAAAAACUAGAAUUCCAAGCGUGCUGGGGGAUUUCGUAUAUACCAGAAUUUCCAUUCUUAAAUCAAACCUUGUAGUCAAUUUAUUUUAUUAAAGCAGAUAGCUUGAGAUUUGGUCGAUGGAUAAAUACCACAACAGGCUAAUCUGUCAGAAAAAUGGCACUGCGAGCCGACAUCUAGUAUGCAAAUAUAAUGCUUUUUUCAUUUAAUUUGGCUUGGCUAGCAUCAUGCUAAUUAGGCCAGGGAAACACUAGGAGCAUUUCACUAGAUCGAUACGUGGCCGGGGGGAAGAUCAACCAUGAAGAUGAAGCGAGGCCGAAGGGAUUGAUACUGAACCAAAACGAAUUAAUACCACUUAUUUCUGGAAAAAAACGACUUGCACUUUAUAAUUAUCUGCAGUAUAUGUAUAUAUUCUGGCUCUUGUGCUAUUAUUCAGGUUUGUUCAACGUUUUGGACCAUUGUCCAUUAGAUGAUUGGUGAUGGACUGUUUGGAAUCUAGCCGAUUCAUCAAGCGCGAGUUCCCCCGCUUCGCCCCCAAAAUCAAUCACAGCAACGACAUCAUCAUCGCAUAAACAGAACAAUACAAACAACACAAACAAGAAAUCUACCGGAUCCGUCCGCGGGUCGCCGCCGCGGCCGUUAGAUCCGACGGAGAAGUCAUCGCCAUCGCCAGAUCUGCGGGAGAAGGUUGGGGCGAAGGGGGAGAUCACUAGAUCUGCUCGCCGGAAACGCCGUCGCCGCCUCCUCCGCAGGAUAUGCCCAUGGGAGCACCGAUGCAACCGCCGCUGCUACGGUAGAAGCUUGGGCGCGGAGGAUGAGGAGGAGGGGGUAGAGAACCGCCAGAUUCAGUCGCCGAAAACGCCACCACUAUCGCCUCCGCCGGAUCUGCCCGUCGGAAACGCCACCGCCGCCAACUCCGCAAGAUCCGCUAGCGGGAGCUACCGACGCCACUGCCACUGCCUUCACUGGAUCCACCCAUCGGAUAUGCCACCGCCACCGAUGGAUCUGCGGGAGGGGGCUGAGGAACGCCGAAUCUGGCCCGCAGGAGCUGCUGACACCAUUACCACCACGAGGGGAGGAAAGGGGUGACUGAGUGAGAGGGGGAGAGAGACGGGUGAGAGUAGGGCAGCGAAUGAUAAGGUCGCCCCCCGUCACCUCCCACGCGUGCCUUUAUCCACUCGCGUGCGGCUCUCUCUUGGCUCGGCUCGUUUGAUAGGUGCGUUUUUUUUAAAUACCGGCACCGAUAAUAUAUUAUAGCUGGCGGUUUUUAAUAUAUUAUAAUUGUCGGUUUUUUUAAAAAAAAUAGCACGUAUAGUAUAGGUAUUGGUUUUUCUAUUAAACCGGCACCUAUAUUCACUUAAAGGUGAUGGAUUUUUUUUUUGUAUUUUCAGCCUGUGGAGGUGGGCAAAAUACUAUAGGUGCUAGUUUUAGCUGUUCCGGUGCCUAUAGUGCCAAUAUGUAUGUGCUUUUUUAUACUAGUGAUGCUGAGGGUUUCAUACCAGAACUUCCAUUCUAAAAUCAAUCCUUCCAGUCAAUUUAUUUUAUUAAAGCAGACAGCUUGAGGUUUGGGGCAAGGAUAAAUACCACACCAGGCUAACCGAUCUGAAAAAUGGCACUGUGAACCUACAUCUAUAUAGUAUGCUAAUAUAAUGCUUUUCUCUUUGGCAUAGCUAGCAUCAUGUUAAUUAGGCCUGGAAAGCACCAGGACGUUCACUUGCACCAUGGAAAGAAGUCAACAGCCUUCACUGUAUGGUUAUGCCGAUUCGGUUUUUUUUACGUGUCUACUUGGUGGGUAAGGAUCGAUAGGGUGCUCCGGAGAGGAAGCAUUCCACGAAGAUGCUAGAUGAAUGCUCCGGUUAAAUUGCUGGAUGAGGAUAUCCAUCUUUGCUAAUCUCUAUCAUUAGUAAUUAUUUGCAAUAAUUAAUAUAUUUUGUUGUUAAUUGGUAAUUAACUUGUCAAAAAUAGUAUUGAUAAGAUAUAAUUAGUCUAUUUUGUUGUUAAUUAGUAUAAACUAUGACUAUAUUAAUGAUAAUUAAUAUAUUUUAUUAUUAAUUAAUAUGUUCAAUCCAUUCUUAUCCACCCAAUCAAACAAGAAAUUGGAUCAUCAUAUCUAUUAGAAAAAAACUGACCAUAUCUGUGUAAAUAUGGAUGACCAAACGUGGCCGGGGAAGAUCAACGAUGAAGAUGAUGUGAGGCCGAAGGGAUUGAUGCUGAACCAAAACGAACCCACUUAUCUCAGGAAAAAACGGCUUGCACUAGAUAAUUAUCUGUAGACUAUGUAUAUAUUCCGACUGCUGCUUGUGUUGGUAUGCCGGUUUGUUCAACGUUUACAGAUUAAUUAUUGUUUCGUACCAUUGUCCAUUAGAUGAUUGGUGAUGGAAUGUUUGGUACGUAUAAACUUUUAUACCUUCAAAUAUAUUUUUGACAAACAGCUAACUUCAAAUAUUUAACCAAUGUUUUAUGAAUGAGGCAUCCCAAUUAUUUUUUAGAUAAUGGAAAUGGAUUAUAUCUCCGGCUUCGGUCAUAACACACAAAGUCAUAAGUUUAAUACAAAAGGUAAAGAUAAAAAUAAAUCAAAAUGAGAAAUAAGAUGAUGGGACAAUUCCCCAACCCCUUUAUUAUUAACUAGCGUUAAACCACACAGAUUUCUAGCUAGCAAUUCUAAUGGAACUACGCCACCCAUAGUGAAAUAAGAGACCCUUGGCUACUGAUUGCAAAAAUAUAGCACCAUUACGCGUGGUAUCAUGUUCCUCUUGUGGUAGCAUCGUAGACCAAAAAUGGAUCCAAUUGGAAGACAUGAAGAUAAUCUACAUAGGGUUAGACAAUUAUUUAGCAUUAAAAACUUUAUCAUUACGACAACUCAUAAUUGGCCAACUUACAACACUAGCUCCGAUUAGAAUCAAUUUUUUAAUGGACCUAGGUACCCCUCUAAGCCAAUUACCAAAAAAUAUUUUUGACGUUACCGGGUGAAGGGAUAUUAAAAACAAAAAAUACACAUAUGUAACAAACUGAGCAACUUGAUACUUGUCAACGGUGGAUACCCGUAGACUGGAUAAAUUGAGUAUUGGAGACAAGAAACAAGGAUUAUACUGGUUCAGGCCCCUCGUGAUGUAAUAGCCCUAAUCCAGUUUAUACGAGAUUAAUAUAGAAAACCACAUAGUACAAAGGGUAUAGAUGAAUCCAAUGAUACCGACGAGAUCCUUGUUGAGAUUGAUCAACGUGAUCUCCCGGCGACUUCGCCUUGAGUUCUUUGGCUUCGUAAACUAUGGUGGGUGUGUUGGCGUUAUGAUUUGAUGAUCCCGAGCCCUUCCGGGAGUGUGCCUUUUAUACCAUAAGUUGCCUUAGUCUCCAAGUAGAACUCGGAGACAAUGAACCCUGCACGAUAUAGAAUAAUCUCUAUCCUCUCCUAGUAGGACUCUGAUAAUCUACAUGCUGUGAGGAUAUUUUCCAUAAUACCUUGCAUAUUUCUUUAUCGCAUAGGGAAACAUAUCGUAGGAUAUGAGAUAUGCCAAUCCGGCAUAUUUGGUAAAUUGUAGGAUAGGAGGUAUGUCUUAUCCGUAACCCUGAAAAUACUCAAAGAAAAGAUGUUGGAUUAUCUCUUGUGGAUAACAGAAAGAACAAUGUUUCUUCCUCCCCCCCCACCCUUUUCUUAUGGCCAGGUUUUAUUUCGUUAGAAUUACUUUCUUAUGAAAAAACCACAUACACACCUUUAUCUUUAGUGGAACCUUUAAGUCUCAUAUAAUUCCUUUUAUCCAAACAUUAGAGUUCAUAAUCAUAUAGAUUUGACUGAAAAUUGGCCAUUCUUAUGGAGCGACCAUACGAAACAGUCCUUUUCAUUUUUGUUUGACGGAGUCAUACAAAUUAGCUAGCCUGAGGAUCCCAAUUACUUAAUCCACAAUUUUCUUAGAGAUUAACACAAAUGUAAAAUGGCCUAUAUUACAUAUAGUACGUAGGGCAUGUUCACUUUGAUGACAUUUUCAACCUUACCAAAUUUUGGUAAAGUUGCCAAAAAAGUGGCUACAUUUAGUUUGUUGCCAAAAUUUGGUAACUAUAUAAGAAAUCCUACCAAAAUUUUUGGCAAGUUGUCAAAAUUUUGGUAAUGCCAAAAUUUAGUAAGGUUUUUUUAGCAUCAAAGUGAACAGACCCGUAAUGACUAUGAGAUAUCAAUAUAUAUACAUAUAUAUAUAUAUAUGUAUAUAUAUAUAUAUAUAUGUAUAUGUAUAUAUAUAUAGGAGUUGGAUAAUAUGAACCUAGGUGCAUCUGCACCUCAAUCCCACAUGUGACACGUGUCUAUUUUUCGUUGUAGCUGAUCAUCAUUUUCACCAAAGCUCCUACAACUUGUACCUACCCAGCCCAAACUCUUAUAGGGAAAAUUUUAGGCAGGUACACAAUGAUGCUGUAGUCAUGCAUUUCUCACCCACCCAUGUACUAGUACUAGUCUGCAACUGUAUUCAUGUCUUUUCACUAAUGUGACCGUGAGAGAGAAUGAGAGAGAGAGAGAGAGAGAUGAACAUGUAGUUUUAAUAGAUCUCUUGGCUACAAUCACAUUACUCCAUGUGAUUAGCCAUCAAAUAUACGUUGAUUUUUUUAAUUAAUCUGACCACCUUGUUUUGUAUGUCCGGAAAUUAAUCUAUAUCUGGUUUUAUUCGGACAUGAUAUAUCAAGAUGAAUGUCCAAUCACCAAACAAAUACAAUAUAUCCGAUGUCCAAGAAUGACAUUGUGAAAAUAAUAUAUCAUUUGGCAUAAAUUAAAAUAAAAAAUACAUGAUUUUUAUUUUUACAGAUAUAUGCUACAUAACAAAGUAUAAUUUCAUUAAUUGACAAAGAAAAUAAUAUACACUGCAAUUUGUUGACACCGAAAAUGAAAUACAACGAAAAUAUCAUUUUGAAAAGUCAUGUCUAAAAAAAAGAUGUCGCAAAAUGAUAACAUAUAACUUGACAUGUAUUGAAAUUAAAAAAAAAAUCACAUGCGUGUUAUUUCCAAAAUGGUCAUGUGUACUAAAUUUCCAUGGAUAACAAGAGAAAAGAAACAAUAUUCAAAUGAUGAGUAAAUACUACAUGAUGUGUGGUCAACUACCUCUCAUCUGUUCUUUCUCUCUCUUUGCUCAGGAAGUACAUGUCCCAUGUCAGAGCAACACAUGCAUUACGUACCUCCCUGACAUUUUCUCGUGUAGACAAUCUUCAUUAGUGAAAGGUCCAUUUAGAAAGCACGCAUCUUGGAACGAUUGAAUGGUUGUGAUUCUGGGUGCAGAUGAACCUCGGUUCAUAUCUGCUUUUAUAUAUAUAUAUAAACUGUGCAAACGAAUAGAAAACUUCUAACAAAUCUCGAUGGCCUUGCUAGCUAGGUGAAUCAUCAUAUACUUCCAUCUUUUUUUUUCCUUUGACAAUUUACAGCUUACUAGCUUACAGGAUUGGGAAAUCUCUGGAAUUUUCAUAUAGCUGCACAAAUUGUGGCACAGAGCUGCAUUCACAGUUCUAGAAGCAAAUCAUCAUAGUCAAUAUGCAAGAGUGGCCGAUUAGCAGUUACUCCGACAGUUGGAAGUAGGGUACUAGUACAUUCUGGUUUUUGAGCAAACAGUUCUAAUUGGCCAUUGGUCAGUUCUUUUUUUGUUCAUGUUGUUACUGUAGCUAGAAAUCCAAAACGCCACCAAAAUGGAUAUAUACCAAAAAAAAUGUGCAAUUCUUAAGUUGCAGUCACCACUGAAUCUGAAGUCAACUAAACUUCAUACACUAGGCUCAUAUUCUUGCUAAUAUACUUCAUACAAAAUAGGGGCACAUUCUUACAUAGGAGUAGCCAUUUUUAAUUCAACUAGGAAGAUAGCCCGUGUAUUCACGCGGGCAUGUGUCGUACAUUAUGUUUGAACAUCUACAAUAUAUGAUUUCUCCAUAAAUUGUUUUCAUUAGCAUUGCUUUCAUAAUUGUCUAACCUAGUUAUUAGUUAUCUUUAUAGCAUAUCAUAUUUAAUUAAUUCCUACAAGCAAUUAUUUAUAAUAUUCUUCAUCAUCUACUAAGUAGGUAGACAUAUUUUGUGUUAGAAAACAUGUAUAGAAAAUUAAGUGUAAAAUGAAAAGUAAGAUGUUUUUUAAUUGAAUAUAGGUUGUCAUUGUUUAUUGACGGAUGAAUUGGGUGGGAUAUGAGGCUCUACUAAAUGCAUGGGUUUAUAUUAUUGUUUAAUUUGAGAAAGAACCCAUAUGUGAACAUUCCAUGUAGAGAGUGUGUGAGACUCCAUGCAACCUAGCGCAAAUAAUAUUGGAUGAAGAAAUAUGGUUGUGCAAUAUAUUAUUUUGAUAGAUGAUGUAUUAUGAAUACACGCUUGUCUUUUAAGAUGAGAUAGAACUAAUGGUUGGAAAUAAUGGGCUUAUCGGUUUAAAAGGCCUAGGAGGAUUUAUGGGGUAAUAGGUGGCGACUUUAUAUAAAAAAGAAACCAUUAUCUAAAAUUGAUUAGAUGAUAUAUAAAAUAAAAUUAUCAGUGUAGCUUAAAAUUAUGCUCUUUUUAAUAUUUGUUUCUCUCUAUAGUUUUGUAGCUGAAAAUAGGGAGGAGACUGGAGAGAAACGAAUAGCGUAGAACUCAAAUCAGAUAUGAGAAAGGGUUCGCAGUGCAAUGGUGUUAUGUGAAUAUGAUUGGAGAGGGAGGUGGAUGGUACAUUGUUUUUUUUUAAUAAAAAAUCUUCGUAAACAAUCUAAGUGAGAACCUAUGAUUUGUUGUUUUCUCAUUAUAAGGAUCUUUAAGACAUGACAUGUGGUGGCUUAAGUUUUUUUAUAAAGAGAAAGGCAAUCUAAUAGUUAAAAAUAAUGGGUCAUCAAAUUAAGUGGAAACCGAUGGAUAGAUAUAUACUUUAUUUUCUCUUGGAAUUUCAAUUUUUUCAAAGUUUUAAAAUAUCAUACAUGGUGACUUGAGAGUGCUACAGAGCACGCUUAAUCGAUCUUUACUAUGUAAAACGAUUCAAGAAUAUAUAAUAUACGUUUUCAUGUUUUUCAAUGUUUCGUUGUUAUUUGGUAAGGAGAUUUUAUUUUUAUUGAGGUAUAUUUAAUGCCUUCAUCAGUUUGAAAUAUUUAUGUCUUUAAAUCCAAUUGUUAAAUUAUAACUCGACUGAUUUAAAUGAAAAUUGAUGAAAUUAUAAGUCUGCCAAUUUAAUUGAAAAUUGAUGGUUAGAUUUGUUUUCUUCGGAUCGCCGGCCGAGUCUCCCCCAGGCCCACGGCUCGGACCGGGCCCCCUGGAGCCACCACCCCUGCCGGAGCCGCCGGUCCGACUGCCGCCCGUGGUGGCGCCGCUGCUACCCGUGCCGUCGCCACCGCCACCACCGGAGGCGCCUCGGCGGGACCGACCCCUACAGCACCGACGGCCGACAUCACAGCCAGGAUAUUCUCCCGGUCGCGGUCGCUGCAGAGGGGGAGGAUCCCGUCCGGAAUCAGCAUUUGCUCGACGGUGUCCAGGCCCAGCACCGCCGAACCACCGUCUUUGCGUCCUCCUCGCCCCAAUCCCAGCGCUCACCUACGUGGGUGCACAUGGGAUCGUUAUACCUGGUGUACUCCCACGCGCCGCGGGACUGCUCCUGGAGAGGCGUGAUGCGACGGCGGAAGUAGUCGCCGAACACCAUCGCCGCCGUUAAGCCCUAGCUUCCCAGGCCCUUGAGGCGGUCCCGCACCGCGUCGUACUCCUCGCCCAGCUCUGAAACUGCCAACCACGCGGCAGAUCGUUCGGGAGGGCCGGUAGGGAGCCGAAGUCGCGGACGAUCCGGCAGCGCAGUGUAGAACCAAUCCUUCUUCCAAUCCUCCCACUUCUUGCGGAGGUCACUAUCGAUGUACUGCCCCGCCACGCCUGGCCGGGGCUGGAAGUAGCAUCCUCCCCCUACCGCGCCUUGCAGCAGCUGUGGGACGAGGAAGGACUGGAACAGCCGCAUUGUCGGCCGCACCCCGACGAACAUCUUGCACAAGUGCGCGAAGAUGGCCAGCGUCAUCAUAGCAUUGGGGGCGAGAUGCAAGGCAUGAAUUUCGUAGAAAUCCAAGACCUCGUGGAAGAACCUGGAGAAUGGCAGGAUCAACCCCACCAUGGUGAAGGAUAGGAGGUGCACGGAUCGCUCUGGGUACCGUGGCUGCGGCCGCGUCUCCCCUACCCUCACGGCGGCAUCCUCUGGAAUGAUCUUGCGGAUGAGGCUAAGGUGCCUCUCCGCCGUAAUGCGCGAUGCCGGGAGGACGGCGUCGCCAGCAUCUUGGGCCAUGAUGGCCAGCGGGAAACGGCGAGGAGUUUGGCGUACGGAAUAGGAUGGAGGGAGAGAAGCACUAGGGCUUGAGGGGCGAGUAUGCGGGUGUGCAGUCGGCGAGAGGAAGGAGACGAACUCUCCGCCUCCCUUCCCUUUUAUCCCCACCUCGGCCGCGCUCGCCUCCUCGUUUCACGCCCCUGCGGUUGCCCCAUCGAUUCCUGCGCCUACGGUUGCCUCCUUGAUUCUCGCGUCCACUCAUCACGUCGCCCCACUGAACCCGCGCCCCGCGGUUAGUGCGCUUGUCAGUGGCGCACUCGGCGCGGGACAUGCGGUGUUCACGAGCACGGCUAGGCGGGCCCGCCGUCGGUCCCUUCGCGUGCCUAGCAGGCGGGGGAGUUGAGGCGGCGUUGGGUGACGAUUCUGGGUGUGAUCUGGCAGACCCCCCGACUUUUGCGCCCUAAGUGCCCCAGUGAACGGCGCACUUAGUGGCGGUCAAAUCGCCAUUAUGGCUGAUGCGCCAGCCUGGCCACCCGACGGCGGCUGCCUAGUUUCCCCGCCGGACCCACAACCACAGCACGGGAACUCAUGAGGAACCACGCCAGACCGCCCUCAGGGGGCCAAUGUCCGACGCGGUGCCGGGGGCUACUGUCGGUGAUAUGGGCCCGGGGGUAUGCAAAGUACGGGGGAGUUACCUUCAAAUGCAGCCACGUGGCCCUACAACUUGGCCCUCCCCCCACACCUCGGAAGACGCAAAAGCAGCCAGGGGGCCUCGGGGUGCCACGUCACGCCCCUCGGGCCCUCGCGCUGCCACGCCCCGAGGCCCUCGCCCAGCUGCCAUGUGGCGAGGGGAGCGCGCGGGGAGGAGACUCAGGCUGAACCCCCAUCAAUGCGCGGCGCCCCAACCGUUUGUCACCGCAUUUAAUGCGGUAAGGGCGGACGUGCGGUGCGGCCUGAUUGACCUACGUCAAUCAGGCAUGACCAGACUGUGACCAGCCCGUCGCCGGUCACGUCCGGUCGGACGGGCAGCCGUGUCCCCACGUUCGCCCCUGUACCCGGCGGAGUGGAGGCAGGUAUGCCCCGUCCCAUCAAGGCAUCAUCCGGAGCUCCCUCCACGUGAGAAGGACCGUCACAAGUCUUCGUUCAUUUAAGAGGGAAUGACAGAGCUGUCCUCCGUGUCAGGCGGGAGGUGGCGCUGGGUCCCACUCGAGGACGGACGGCCGCUUAGCUUCUGGGCGAAGGCACAGAUCGUGGUCCGGUCUGAGUAGAGUGGGUCCCCCUCCCGUGAUAGAGUAGGUAGAAGCGGUGCAUGUAGUAUCCCCUUGAACUAUAAAAGGAGGACCUUGCCCACCGAGAAAAAGGGACGACUCCUAGUAGGCCUAAACCCUAGGAGAAGAAGAGCGAGAGUGCUCUCCAGAGUUUAGGAACCUUUGUAACACUCAACCAUAAAUCCCAUCCAUAGGAGUAGGGUAUUACGCUCCAUAGCGGCCCGAACCUGUAUAAUCUUGACACCGUGCACGAUCUCGAAGCACUCAGGGCAGAUAAACGAUUUCGUCAAGCGUGCCUUUUCCCCCGGCCAAACUCACAAAAGGGGGAUCUCACUGUCACCCGCUAGAGAGGAUCAUUCCUCGACAGCACUAGACCUCUACUCCUCCCUGAGCAUAGUCCCGGUCCUCACUAUUGACCAAGGCUGACCUCAAGUCACCUGCACACAAUCAGACAAAACAACCGUUCCUGGGCACAGAUAUCACAACCUGACCCACAUUAGUCACACGCACUCACACCAACAUUCACAUAAAUUCUCAAACCAAUUCAUUGAUUAAAUCAUCUGCACAGCCAAUUGUUCAUCACAAAUAUAUUAAUCAUGACAAUGAUUUCAUUAAUCAAUCAUCCCCGAAUUGCCUCCAAAUACACAAAUCGAUCAUAUCAAAUACAUCACAAAAUCUUAAAAAAAUUACAUCACAACUUCUACAAAAUUCAUCACAAAUCCACAUCGCAUACAAAUCAAAUACAUCACACAACAAUCUCAGAUCCAAUCAAAUACAUCACACAACAAUAUCAGAUUCUCCCAAAAAAAAAACCGCCAAAGUAGGCGCCGCCUCGCCGCGCGCCGCGCCGCUGCCGCGCUGGCCGGCCCUCCACGCCCCGCUGCCCUCGCGCCGGCCUGGCAUCCUCGCCCUGCCGCUUCACUCCGGCCUGGCAUCCUCGCCCCACCACUGCAGUAGAGAGGAGAAGGAGAGGAGAAGGAGAGGAAUAGAUAAGGAGAGGAACAGAUAAGGUUGAGGAGAGGAGGAGAGAGGAGUUAAAGGAGAGGAGGAGAUACCUCGAUCUGAUCGGCACGCCUCUCCGAUCUCCGCGUUGAUCUUUUUUCCCGGUUGGUAACACCAACCGGGACUACAAAUAGAUUUUUAGUCCCGGUUACCAACCGGGAGUAAAGCGUAUGGCGAUCUUUUUUCCCGGUUGGUGUUAUCAACCGGGACUACAAAUAGAUCUUUAGUCCCGGUUGGUAACACCAACCGGUACUUAAAGAUUGGAAAGUACCCCUGGAGUUUUUAAACCGGGACUAAAGAUAUUUAUAGUCCCAAUUUUUAAUACAACCGAGACUAUUGUGAAAUCUGGUCGACCGACCAAAGAUGGUUUCUCCACCAGUGUCAAGCACACCCUCCAAAUCUCCAUCAGCGCUUGCCCAAGGACAUCCUCUCACCUGUAGCUCUCAUGUUGCAUGACUGUAACAACAUGUGCACCUGCCAAUUAAAAUUAAAUUGAAUUUAAAGUGCACUCUUGUUUGAAGCACGAUCUACACCGACUUGUAGGAUUAUUUCUCCCAAGGCCAUGUGCUCCUUUCCACCUAUGCCUCAUCAAUUCGCCAUCUCUUAUUCCUGUCAAAUUUAUUUCAUCGACUGCCACCACCGUUCGAUAUCCAGCUAGGGGCGCACUACCAUAAUAAUUAGCAUCAGCACCAUCUAGCCAUGUAUGCAAACCCAUGUCCCAGAUAUAGAGCCACAACGGGGCAGCACCUGGGACCCUCCAUCACCGCCAUGGUGCCAUCAACAUUGAACUGUUGAUUGCCCCUCUGCCAAGAAUACUAUAUAUGCAUGCCACACGGUGCCCCUCAGUGCCUUGCUCAUCAUUCCUAACCAUUUUCUCGGCCACCCAUCUAUCUUCCACUGGCAUAUCCACCCCCCUCCCAAUUUGAUCAUGCAUGGGUCCACAUGCUCAAUGAACGGAUCAUGAGGAGGUGACUAAUUCUCAUUAUCUAUAAGUUAAAAUGGCUGCUUUUUGGGAGGCCUGCAUGCCCUACGCUAGCGAAACAACCGGGACUACCAACCUUGCAUCUAUUUAAAGCAAUUGUAUAAGAGUCCUUCAACGAAAAUGGCUGCCAACGAUCUCCAUGCUGCACCACACAUUUUCUUACCACCCCCUCCCCCCUCCACCAUAAAUAUGCACCCAGCUGCAACAUGGAUCACCGAACACAUCGAUCCAUCCCUCUACCAAGCAAGAAACAAGAAACAUUACACCAAAAAACUAGCUAGCUAGCCAAUGGCCUCCAUGUCCUCCUUCCGACUUGCCGUGGCGGUGGCUGCACUAUUGGUCAUUGGCUCACAUGCCACAGAGCUCACCUUCAAGGUUGCUGAGGGCUCUAGCGCCACUAGUCUAGAGCUCGUCACCAACGUCGCCAUCUCUGAGGUGGAGGUCAAGGAGAAAGGCGGCAAGGACUGGGUGGGGCUCAAGGAGUCGGGCUCUAACACCUGGACACUCAAAAGUGAUGCACCACUCAAGGGCCCCUUCUCCGUUCGCUUCCUUGUCAAGAACGGUGGCUACCGUGUCGUCGAUGAUGUCAUCCCUGAAAGCUUUACUGCCGGCUCUGAAUAUAAGAGUGGCAUCCAACUCUAAGUAACAGGCGUGCAUACUCUUGUGUUGGGUCAUAUUGGAAUUAUGAACCUCUAAAUAAUUAUGUCUUAAAAGAGAUCGCUCCAUGUUCGAGCGAACCAUUAAUUAAUUUUCUAUUAAUUAAUUUUCUGUGGUUAUUUUUUUGUAAUGGGCUAGUGGCAAAAUAAGGCAUACAUGUGUACUCCAAAAUAUUGCUGUGGAGCUAUAUGCAAAGCAUGGUUUUGAAUAUAUGUUAUUUAUAUAAGAUAUAUGGGAAAAAGUAUAUUUGGUCAACUUUCAUUAAGAUGAUUGGGUGCAUUAUUUGAUUUUCCAAAGUUUUAGUACAUAGGUAUGUCCAAACCAAUGUGUUCCUUUCACCAUUUUAGCGUGUCAAAAAUAUUGUAGAGUGACAUCUAUACUUGUUUUUUUUUUUCCUUUCUGAAAACAAAUUGUUGAUUCUCAGCCAUACUAUGAACUGAAACUAUAAGCACUAGCCAUCAACCCAUACUAUCUAAUUAUAUCAUCAUAAAUAUUAAUACUUUAGUUGCAAAUGAAUAUUUGUUUUUUGUAAUUACAAUAGCUCUUAUGUUAAAUUAAAAUAAGAUUUUAUAUGAAUUAUAUAUACCUUGUUAAUUAGUGAUUCCUAAUUAAUAGAAUACUUAGUGGAUAAAAUUCAUGAUUUUUAAUUCGUUUUGACUAUGACUUCCAAUGGCAUGUUUUCUUAAUACAAUGUCCCAAUAUAUUAUUGUUUGUAUUAUAAAUAAAACAAUUUUAGUCAUUUUUAUCCCUCAACAUUGGUAAAAGAAAAGUAAUUUCACUGAAUUUGUUGGAGGAAUCAUGUAUUUUCUGAAGCAACGACUAUUAAUAGAAACAUAAGUUAUUGAACUGGGUGAAGCAUAUGCAACAGAUAAUAUAUUAUAGUAAUAGGAUAACACACCUAUACUUAUCGUGAAAACCUGACAUAAAGGAUCAAAAUCAAAUAACAUAUAAACAUUAUAACAUAUAGUGAGAGGACACCAUGCACUAGUAGGUAUGAAUGGAUUCUUCUAGGAGCCAAAUCAAGAACUCUUCUAUACUGUCCUAUCCUAAUGCAUAUGAAAUCAGUUAUUAUGAUUCUUAACAUUACUUGUUUUGGCCCAUAAUAAAAAUAUCGCUUAUAAAUUUUAAAAUAAUAGAAAAAACUGUAGGAUACAUUAGUUUUUCCUUUGAUCACCAUUGGGGAAUUGCAAUAAUCAUCUAUUAAUUUGGAAAAUCUAUUAUUUUAAACAAAAAAUAUAUAAUCAUUCUCUCUUCCAUGAUCUAGGGAAAUAGGAACAAAAAUAAGCCAUGUCUCGCCACAUACCAUUUGGAAAAUAAUCUAUUAGUUUGGAAAAAUCAUUAUAAACAAAAUAUUUAUAAUGAUUCUCUCUUGCAUGCAUAUAUGUAUGUAUAUUACUCCUACUUCACUAAAGCCACGCAUGCAUCAUUAGUGGAAAAACCUGCUAGAUGCAUGCAUAUUUAUUGAUUUUUUUCCUUGCCCCAGACCAUGCAUGACCGCCUUUAUAAUGCAAAUUUUCCAGUGCAUAAACUAAAUACUAUAUAUACAGAUAGUUUCAGAAGGUCUGAACAUUUUUUCGAACAUAAAUUUGAAAAUUUUUACAAAAUAAAAAUAAGGAUAGAAAAUUCAUAAAACAUAGAAAAAAUACAUUGUAAUAUAUUAUAUACUCCCUUCGUCCAAAAAUAUAAUCAGUCAUAGACUUCAAAUUUUAUCCACAAAUACUAGUAUGUAGAGAGUUGCGCGUUUGCGCGGCCGUAACAUCCCUGUAUAUUAAAUGUGUUAUUUGUUAUUUACAGUAAUCAAUUUAAUUUUACAAUAAUAAUUAACACUCUAGAUGUAGGUGUGUGGACCAAAAUUGUCGGACACUGAAGUGACAAUAUUAUCAUGACAACCAAUAAUUUAACAUGCUUUCAUGCGACCAUAUCACCUUUGUAUUUAUACUAAUAUUGUAAACAGGUAAUUAGAGAAACAUAUGGUACAUAGUUUAGUAUUAUUGUUCUAAAAUAAACAAUGUUAUUGUUACAAUAAAUGAUUACAAAUGAACUAUCUAGAACAUAUUUCAUAAGUUUUAGUAGUGUGGCUGGCGGGAUGGAAGGCCGGUCAGCUGGCAGCAAAGCCAGAGACAGAAGGUUUGGAUGCAGUUUUUUUUUUUUAAUUAAAAGAAAAAUCAACGUAUCUAUCUAGACUAUCCAGUUGUUUCUCUGGGCCAUGAUUUUUUUUUAUUUCUCUAACUUUUUUUAAGCAUCAAUUUGAUUGGAUGGCUAUGAUCUUUUCUUCUACUUUGUCCUUUUCUGAAUCAAAUGGUUCAUAUUAUCCUGAUCAUGUGGAGGAUUUCAGUAAAGUUAAGUUUUGGUUUUAACUUUCACUUAGAGAGAUGAGCAUUUAAGUGUACAACAUCCAUCACUCAACCACCUCUCACUUAAUAUUUUUCGAUAAACCUUAUUGCUAAUAAUAAAUGUUCAUGUUCCUACACUGUCGAUGAAUGAUACUCGUAUACCGGAUGAUUAGGGUAUUAGGGUAUGUUAGAAUGAUGAUCUACGUAAUACGACAUCAAGCAAACAGAAGACAAGAAUUAUACUGGUUCAGGCCCCUUAUCAGGUAAUAGUACUAGUCCAGUUUAUAUGGGAUUGAUGAUUGAAAACCGCAUAUUUCAAUGGGAGUAGAAAAAUUCGACGAUACCGGCAAGAUCGUAGUUGAUGUAUUCGACGAGAUCUCCCGGUGACUUGGCUCCGUGUAUUCCGGCUUCGUAAACUAUGGUGGGUGUGUUAGCAAUGAGAUUCGAUGCCUUGCACCCCUUCCCAGGGGUCUCUUUUAUACCGUGAAUCAUCUUGAUCUCUAUGUAAGACUCGGAAACAUCGGAUCCCGUACGAUACAAUAUAAAUUUUAUCCCCUCCAAGUAGGACUUUGGAAAUCACUUAACUCGUAGAGAUAUUUUCCAUAAUUUGUAACGGAUUCCUACUACAUGUAUAGAUACACCGGUCAGACCGGCGGUACAGCAGCGGUCAGACCAGUGGUACAACUAUUUUGGAGUAUAGACUCGGGAACAUCAGAUCUACAAUAUAAACUUUAUCCCCUUCAAGUAGGACUUUGGAAAUCACUUGACUCGUAUAGAUAAUUUACAUAUUUUGUAAUGGAUUCCUACUAUGUGUAUAGAUACAACCUGUGUACGUGAAGGUAUACCAUACACGUAUAUUCUAUAAGUCGUAAGAUAGGAGGUAUAUAUGCCUUAUCCGUAACCAUAACACUCUCUUAUUUAAAUUUGUCUUAUUUUUGCGUUCCUUCCUAAUCUCUAAAGAAACUUGACAUCCCAUAUAUUUAAGGAUGUACAGGUGAAUAUAAAUAUAAGAAGAAUAAUAAAAGUAGAUCAAAUAUAGAUAAAAAAGUUAGACUAUGCAAAUUGAUGGAAUACUACUUGAAUUGUACGAGGCUACCACACUAUGGACCUUUCUAAAUGCCAGAAAAAUUUGUAAAAGCAAAUAGAUGGAACACUUUUAUGAAUUAUGGGUACGAUGACAACGGAUUGGCUUCUUAGGUGCAAGCAAACUUGUCGAUCAAUUUUAAAUCAAACAUCUGAACAUCAAAAAAAUAUAUAUGGUAAGGUGAUGACGUAGGUUAACACUCCUAUAUAUUAGACGUGUUGUGACAGAUGAGAAACAUGCAUGUAAAGAGAACUGAACUGGAAAUUAGAAGUUAGAAUCAAACCUUAAUAAUUGAUAGAAAAUAGCAAUAGCGUUCACCUGUCGCUGUGUGCAUGGCCAUGCCGUGCCCUCCCAUGUUUGCCAUUGCGUCUAUCUGAUCAGAUCGAUAUGCAGUACUACAUUCGUCUCAUUUUAAGUGUAGUCAUGAUUUUUCAUGCGCAACGUUUGACCAUUCGUCAUGUUUGAAAAUUUCAUGAAAAAAUUAAAAGAAUAAAUCAUGCAUAAAGUAUUAUUUAUGUCUUAUCAUCUAAUAACAACAAAGAUACUAACAAUAAAAAUUUUAAAUAAGACGGAUAAUCAAACAUUUGACACAGAAACUCACAACUGCACUUAAAAUUAAAGUGCAUUGGCGGUCCUUAAUCUUGUAGGGUUGUGUCAUAUAGAUCCCUAAACUUUCAAAAUGCAUAUCCAGAUCCCAGAACUUGUCAAAGUGUAUCAUCUAGGUCCCAAAUCGACGCAUCCCCUCUAAGAUCCUACGUGGUGCUGAGGACGUGACGUGUCCUUUUCUUUUUUUUUCUUCUUUUAUUUUUCUUUUUCUUUUCCGUUUUCUUCUCAUUCUUCUUUUUUUCCUUUCUUCUGCUCGGGUCACAAAGAAAGGAGAAUAAAGGGGAAAAAGAGAAGAAAAAAAGAAAAAAAAAUUAAAUGGGUCCUAUUUAUCAGUAAAAUAAUGCCAUGUCAUGUCCGUGUGGCAUGUCACAUCAACGCCACGUAGGAUCCUAAAGGGGUUGUGGUAAUUUGGGACGUAGAUGACACACUAUGACAAGUUCUGAGAUUUGGAUAUACAUUUUAAGAGUUUAGGAAUCUAAAUGACACACCCCAACAAAUAUAAGGACUGUCCGUACACAUUACUCUAAAAUUAAAAUGGAACGGAGAGAGUAGUACGUGCAAGCUGUGGAAAAUCAUAAAAGGACUGUUGUAGAGCUAUUAAUUAACGUAGAUGUUUCUGUAAUGUAUGUUCGUUGUAGUGCAUGCUUAAUACGAGAUGUUUUGGAAAAAAAAAGAGAUAUCAGUAGCAUCCCAGUAAAUAUGGAUGGCCCUGUAUACCACCACCGAUUUUAGACUGCUUGAUCGAUCGGUUUAGAAAAAAAAAAGAUUACGCACUUUCAUAAAAAGGAAAAAAAAUAUUGUACUUAAACGGAUCGGGUCAAUGGGCUUGGCAAUAGGUUAGAUGGAUUUUAAAGAGACCCACACCACAUAGAAUGUGGAUUCAAAUUUCAACGGUUGACAUAUUACAAUCUGUUUAAUCAACGGUUAGAUCACAUGAGAGGUUCUAAAAAAGUGUCUAAUUAAUAUAUAGGUAUAGAUAAAACAUCAGUACAUUGUAUAGUUUAUUGAGAUGUCAAAACAAACUGCAGUACGACUGAGUGGUAAUAGGUAGGAUGGAAAUGAAGCCAGCUUUGAGAGGAGCAAAAUUAAGCUUCAUAUCAUAUAGUUGGCCAAUGCCCCAAGCUACAGUCAACAAGAAAGUUUGUACCCCCGUCGUUUUUUAAUAGAUGAUGCCGUUGACUUUUUCACAUGUUUGAUCAUUCGUCUUAUUCAAAAAUUUUAUGCAAAUAUAUAAGAUAUAAAUUACACUUAAAGUACUAUGAGUGAUAAAACAACUCAUAACAAAAUAAAUUAUAAUUACGUAAAUUUUUUGAAUAAGACGAAUGGUCAAACAUGUGAGAAAAAGUCAACGGCAUCAUCUAUUAAAAAACAAAGGUAAUAUAAUACUAUUAGAAUACCAAUUUAUUGCAAGGAUAUAAAAUAAAUAAACCAUUAGUUACAAACUUUAAAUAGAAAUAUUUUUGCACUACUAGUAUACCGUUAGUUCCAAACAUUUGAACGCAAAGAACUAGUAAAUCUUUCACGUGAAAAAAAUGUAGUGGUGGUUUACAUUCUAUAGUCCAUCGUGUAAGCACAACCUCACUCCCACGCCCUCUCGAGCGACUCCUAGCUGCACACAUGAUGUCUGCAUGAUGUCCUUUCCCAGGCGCUUGCCCAUGAACUUCCUGUGACCUGUAGCUCUCAUGUCGUAUGGAUGUAACAGCAUGUGCAUCCGUGUCACGUGCAAUUCCAAAAUUAAUUUGUGUAUUAAAUCCUCGUCAAAAAUCAGUCAAGGUACACAAACUUAUUAUUUGAUCAUACAAUAGAAAAACUAAAACAAUAAAUUCUUAGUCCUCACCAUGACAAAAAGGUAACAAAAAGGAAAAACUAACAAAGCUUUAAAUCCACUCCGACAGGUAGCUCAACUGAGGCAUACUCCUUUUUCAACUGAGAUUGAUGAUUAUUGCAAGGUGGGUAUAUAACGUAGUCCAUAGGCCACACAACAAAUUAACGAAUGAUCUAACAGAGCCAUCAUAAAGUCAUAGCUAGUGAAUUCAUAACCCCGGGAAACAAGGAAUAAGGUUACCAGUGCAAAUUGGUCAUAACAAAGGAAUAGGUGCACACCACAAAUAAAUACAUGUUUGAAAUAAAUAAAGAAUUUAAAUAUAGGAUCAACCUGCUCAAAGGGAAGUUUGAGAUAUGUCCGACUUGCCAUGCAAACAAAUGACUUCAAUUCGUAUUCUGAAACACUUCCGACAAACUUGUGAUCCUCCGAAAUGAUAGAACUACACUAUAGCAUGCAAAACAAAGAAAAAGACUAAUAAGAAAAAAAGCUAUAGCGUACAAGAGUUUUCAAGGUAAUUUUUUUGUGAAAAUCUUUAAAGUCGUUGUUCGUCCUUCUUUUGAAUUGGAGCCUCCCAAUCCAUUUAUUUAUUUUAUUCAUUGAGUUUCACCCCCCCCCCCAUAAUCUGAUCCAUUUUCCCUUCGAAACCAAAAUUCCAAAUUUCAAGAAUUCUCCAAACGAUCUCUGUGAAAAUCAUUCCAUCAAUUCAUGUCUAUAAACUCAUAUGGAAGUUCUAUUCAAAAUCACAUAAAAAUUGAAUGACCACUAUAUCUCUCCCUGGGCCAAAAUCAACCACAAUCCAACCCGUCACCCUCUGUGUCACUUCCUCCACCAUCUCCCUAGCUCUGUCCUGCACCUUUCCAGCCCACUGCCACUGCACCCCAACAAAGGCAGCUGCCCCAACCGAGUUUAUUACGUGUGCCACACAAUGCCCCUAGGUGCCUUGCCAUCGCUCCUCCCGACCAUUCGCUCGACCACCCCUCUAUCUUCCACUAGCAUAUCCCCCCGGCCCCUAAUUUGUUUGUGUAUGGGUCCAUAUCCUCAAUGAACGGAACAUGAGGAGGUGACUAAUUCUCAUAAUUAUUAAUAAGUUAAAAAAUUACGUGGAGAAGAGAUGGGACCGCAUAGAUGUCGUACGCUAGCGAAACAACCAGGACCGUCAAACUUGCAUCUACUUAAAGCAAUAGUAUGAGUCCCUCGAUGAAAAUGCCUACCAAAGAUCUCCAUGCUGCACCGCACAUCCAUGCUAGGUUUUCAUACCGGUCCAUAAACACUCCUUUAGGGAGAUGCUUGAGCAAUAGGCCCAAGCAGAACUAGGCUUUCCCCAAGUCCUUCAUCUCAAGCUCAAUAUUAAGAUAAGCCAUUGCUUGUUUAAUGUCCUGUGUGGUGCCAAGGAUAUUUAGAUAAUUGACAUAGACCGAGAUGAUACAAAAUGCAUUCAGGGAUUUCUUUAUAAACACAGGGGGACAAUCAUAAUUGUUUGGGAAACCUCUCUUUAGGAGAUAUCUAUUUAAUUGAUUGAAUCACAUCCUUCCGGAUUGUUUUGAUCCGUACAUUGAUCGCUGCAGGCGAACAAUAUAGAUGUUGCAAUUUCCUUUCGGAUUUGGGAUCUUGAGUCCUUCAGGGACUCUCAGAUAAAGUUCCAAAUCUAAUGCCCCAUACAAGUAUGCGGUCAAUAGAUCCAUCAACCGCAUGUGUCGGUUCACAUGCUCCAUGAACAGAUCAUGAGGAGGUGAUUAAUUAUCAUUAUUCUAAGUUUUAAAAAAAAUAAGUAGAGAAGAAAUGGGACCACAUAGCUGAUUUUUGGGAGGCCUGCAUGCCCUAGGCUAGCGAAACAACCGGGACCACCCAACUAGCAUCUGUUUAUAGCAAUUGUAUAAGAACCCCUCAAUGAAAAAGUCUACCAACGAUCUCCACGCUGCACCGUGCAUCUAUGCCUAGUUUGCUUACCCUCCCUCCACCAUAAAUACGCACCCAACUGUAACAUGUAUCACCAAACAUAUCGAUCCAUCCCUCUACCAGUCAAGAAACAAGGAAGAUUACACCAACAAAUAAACUAGCUAGCCAAUGGCCUCGUUGUCCUCUUUCCGGCUUGCCGUGGCGGUGGCAGCACUGUUGGUUGUUGGCUCAUGUGCCACUGAGCUCACCUUCAAGGUCGCUGAGGGCUCUAGCGCCAGUAGUCUAGAGCUUGUCACCAACGUCGCCAUCUCUGAGGUGGAGAUCAAGGAGAAGGGUGGCAAGGACUGGGUGGCGCUCAAGGAGUCAUCAUCUAACACCUGGACGAUCAAAAGUGAGGCGCCGCUCAAGGGCCCCUUCUCUGUCCGCUUCCUUGUCAAGAAUGGCGGCUACCGCGUCGUCGAUGAUGUCAUCCCCGAAAGCUUCACUGCUGGCUCUGAAUAUAAGAGUGGCAUCCAACUCUAAGUAAGAGGCAUGCAUACUCUUGUGUUGGGUCACAUGAGAAUUAUGAACCUCUAAAUAAUUAUCUCUUAAAAGAGAUCACGCCACGUUUGAGCGAGCGAAUAAUUAAUUUUCUGUGGUUAGUUUUUUGUAAUAGGCUGGUGUUAAAAUAAGGCAUACAUGUGUACUCCAAAAUAUUGUUGUGGAGCUAUAUGCGAGCAUGGUUUUGAAUAUAUGUUAUUUAUAUAAGAUACUAGGUGAUUCCCCGCGCUUUGCUGCCGAAAUUUCUAAGUAACUUUUAAUAUUUUUUUUAAUAAUCGAUCUAAAAGUAAAAUUUAUAUUAGUUAUUAGCAACAAAUAAAAAUGGUUUGUCAAACUAUGUUCAGAGAGAAAUAUGAUAUGUAUGAGAUUGUAGAUGAAAUAUGAUAUCCCACACUUUGAUUAUAUGAAUGAAUAUAAAUGUUAAAAAUAUUGUGAAAAAUAAUGUGAAGGAAGAUGAUUGGAUGUUGAUUUGUAUAAUUCAAUAAAUUAUAGAUGAUGUUGCAUGCUUGCAUAAGUUUUGCAUGUAUUUAUUGCUAGUGGAUGAUGAGGUGGCAUGUUUGCAUGUUGAGCUUUAGGGUUAGUGGGUCAUAACUUUAUAGUAAGAUAGGAUAUGGGAAAAAGUAUAUUUCAUCAACUUUCAUCAAGAUGAUUGGGUGCAUUUGAUUUUCCAAAGUUUUAGUAUAUACGUAUGUCCUAACCAAUGUAGCUCAUUUCACCUUUUUAGCAUGUAAAAAAUAUUGUAAAGUCACACCUACACGUGUAUUUUUUUUCUUUUCUGAAAACAGAUUGUUGUAUCAACCAUACUAUGACCUGAAACUAUAAGCAUAAAGCAUCGGUACAUCGUUUAGUAUAUUCAGAUAUCAGAACAAACUGCAAGUCACAUUAAUCUCACAUAUCCAACACGAAUGAGUGAUAAUCGGAGUAGAAUGGAAAUGAGGUCAGCUUUGAGAGGAGCAAAAUUAAGCUUCAUAUCAUAUAGUUGGGCCAGGCCCAGAGCUAUACUCAACAACAAAGUUUAUAUACUACUAUGAGAAUACCAAUCUAUUGGAAAGAAUCUAAAAUAAAUAUGCCAUUAGUUCCAAACUUUAAAUCAUUUUUUUUUACAUUACCAGUGUGUUACAAAGGAUCUAAAAAACAUACCGUUUAAUUCCAAACAUUCAACAUAAAGAACAAAUAAAUCUUUCACUCCUAAAAAAUGUAGUGGUGGUUUAUGAUCUGUCCUCCAUCAUGUAUGCCUAACCUCACGCCCAUGCCCUCUCGAGCAACUCCCGCACGCAUGAUGUCCCUUUACCCUAUGCCAAUGGAAACAGACCCCCAACCCCCACCACCAGAUCAAAUUAUACUUCCUACGUGCUUGACCAUGGACCUCCACUCACCUGUAGGCUGUAGCUCUCAUGCUGCAUGGAUGUAACAACAUGUGCAUCCCGAACUAACUUGUGCAUUAAAUCGUCGUCUAGGAAAGUAGGAAUUAGCUGAGGUAUACAAACUGACAAUUUAACUAUAUAGUACCAAGAAAACUAAAGCAAUUAAUACUUACAAAAGAGGCUAUUAGUCCUCACCACGAAGACAAUUGCAGCGAAAAAAGAAAAAACUACUGAAGCUUUGUUUAGGUGAUGAUUGGAUUCACUAUUAUUUUAUGUUUUGAUUAUUAUUCUGUGAUGAACAAUUGGCAUAUGUGAUUAUUGGUUUUGAUAUUUGGAGAUUAUCGUCGAAGUGGUUUUGGAGAUAAUCAAUUUUUAGGUGAUGAUUGGAUUCACUAUUAUUUUAUGUGACCGGUCCGACCGGGCUGUGUAUGCCGGUCAGACCGGCGGUGAUCGAGCAGUCAGACCGGACGGCCCGCGGUCUGACCGGCCGACAGUGUAUCGGUUUCGGUUUCGGGUUGUUCCAUAGGAUAUCCGUGAUUGUUUCAUAGCUAUGGCUUUUAGAUGGAUACUAUAAAUAUGUAAUACUGGUGUUUGCUAACAAUGAGUCGAGUUGGGGAUAGUUUGGUCUCGGAAUAUGGUUUUUUUGUUUGUUUCAUGUGUAGGUGACUCGAUGCCUCGGGAGAGUAUUUGCAGUGAUGGACUGGGAGUCGGCUUGGUGGUAAGACGAUGUCCGUGGUGGUCAGAUAUCAUGCGGGAUACUAAGGCUAGAGUUGAUGCACGUGGUUAGUGAAGAUUCCAUAUGGCAUAUGAUGGAGGUAUUAUGUGCAUAUGGGAUGCGGAGUCGAAUUUGGAAGGAGUCCAAAUUUGAUACAAUUGGUUAUGUUAAGUUUGUGUCUUGUACUAGAGGGUUUCCUGAGGUGUUUAGGACUCUUAGUAUGAGUUUGGUUCGUGGCUUUAGGCUGCCUACCUCAUGUAUAAAUAGAGGGGGAGCGUGAGGCUUCCCGGUAUCGUUUUUGUAUCGCUUUUAAGAGCAAUUGAGUUGAUAGUUUAGUUAGGGUUUCGAGUUUAGUAGAGAUUUUUGUAAGGAGUGUUGUUGUUGCACUUUGUAAACACAGAGAGAAGCAAUAAAGUUGUCAUCUACUUUAAGAGUUCUUCGAUUUGUGUUUCACCGGGUUUCGACGGUCUAACCGGCGACUCACUGGCGGUCAGACCGGCGAAGCACCGACGGUUAGACCGGCUAGGGCGAGGCGGUCAGACUGGCGGCGACAUCAGGCGCGGCAGGGAUUCCAGGGCGGUCCAACCGGAAGAUCAAUACCGGUCAGACCGGCGGCUACGCUUCGGUCAGACCGACAGAUCAAUCUCGGUCAGACCGAUCUCCAUCGAUUUCGAGGGUAACUUUUAUUUCUGCUAAAAGUUUUCGGUUUUUGGGUAUACCAAUCAUUCACCCCCCCCCCUCUAGUUGGCUUAGUUCUUGUGAUUCGAUCCUACAACAUCGAACGUUUAAACUCCUGCAUGAAGUAUUAAAUAUAGGCUAAAAAAAUAACUAAUUGCACAGAUUGCGACUACUUUGCGAGACAAAUCUUUUAAGCCUAAUUGCUCCAUGAUUUGACAAUGUAGUGCUGCAGUAAAUAUGUGCUAAUAUAAUGAUGGAUUAAUUAGGCUCAAUAAAUUCGUCUCAUGAUUUACUGACGGAUAGUGUAAUUAGUUUUUUUAUUACUGUGCGAACACCCCAUGCGACACCCUGUAUAAUAUCCGAUGUGACACGCUAAAACUUUACACACCUGGAUCUAAACACCCCCUAAGUAGAGAAUCGCUUAGUUAUUUUUAUGCAUUUACUAUUUACAAAAUUAUUUGGCAUAUCCGUGAAUAGUGUGGAUGACUGACAAACCUGACACACAGCCGGAUAAGCUGCCCAAUUGAGGAGCUUCUGUACCAUAGAAAAAUACAUGUCACCAAUUGCGACGAGCCAAAAAAAUUCAAAAAACCGAGGAAAACGUGAACAAAUUUAUUGCCCAAGUUGGGUGAAAAGUUUUAUAUGAGAAGGUCAACAAAUUUGUUGCCCAAAUUCUAAUGCCUGCUGUUAAUAUAAAAUUUAAUUCACUGCUAAUUUUUUUGUCACGAAUUUCAUAGUCAAAAUAGAUAGGAAAAACAAAAAGAAAAUAGAAUAAAAGAGACCAGGAGCCCGUUUGUGUGUUAGGAAUUUCCAGUAAUUCAUUAACUCAUGCAUAUAUAACACUACCACAAUAGCUAUCCUGCUUCAGUUUUGCUGGUAGGAAGAAAAUGGAAAUAUUCCAAAACACUAGAGGGGCAGUGUAUUCGCGUCAGAUUUUCAAGGUUUGGAAUGCGAAGCUUUGGGGAUUCUAGAAUGUAAAGAAAGCACAAAGAGUCUUGGAUAUUUAAGACCUUGCAACUAUUUAAGACCAUGUUGGGGUUCCUAGAAUGAAGAGAUUAAAUGGGAUCGAGAGGAUUAGUUCCAAACCUCAAUAGGUAUGGAAUACUUUUCCUCCAAAUUAAUAACCUUUAAUCCCAGGGUGACAUGAACGUAGUAACAAUGCAAACCAUUGUCCAAAUCAUACAGACAUGAACAUAGGUGACAAUGCAAACCAUUGUCCAAAUCAUACAGAUGUCAAAAGACAGGUAGCAACUCGUUCAGUCUUCAUAAUCUUCGAAGAACAAACAGUAGCACCAUACAGUGAGAAAUAUCAGAUUUGCUCUGCAGCAUCAGUUGGAUGGAAAUAACCACACUGGAAAAAUCAAUGAUUUCCUCAGGAACGCCAAUGUUGCAAGGUAACAAUUUGAGAGCAAAGGGCUUCAUCAUACCAUUUCUUGUGUUGUAGAGUACAAAUCUAUCAUGCCACACCACGAUGUUGCAACUUACUGAACCACUUACAAUAAUACUAAGCAGAAUGGGAUGAGGGCAACAACGACGAUUUGGUUCAUCCUCAUCUCUCAUAUCUUCAUGAACAAUAUCAAAUGUGAACCUACACAUACAAGAUUGGCAUUUGACAAAAAAAAAUACAGAUGCAAUCUACAAACUACAAUUGAUUAAUGAACAAAAAUGGUAGGAAUGCAACAUAUCAUUUGCUCUAGUUUGAGAUAACGGAGGUAAACUUUUUCACUCUAUUAUUCAGUUCUAGGAAAUAUUACAAAAUAUCAUCUUCAGUGAUUGCCAAAACAUCUCUCUCAAUAUGAUUCAACCUAUCAUUCCCCAUCUUAUUUCUCAACUCAGUCUAUUGACAAUUUUCUAGCUGAAAAGGCUCUUUUAACCUUGUCAGUUACAACACAGCAGGAGGUCACCUCCACCAAGUGUCCAAACUCCAAACAAUGUUUGGUUGUCACAUAGGAGUUUCAAUGUGUGAAACUCAAAUUGAAGCGAGCUUUCAGUGGUCAUGUUCUCUGCAAGCAAAACUUAUCUCAAAGAAGGGAUGUAAUAAUAUUUAUGAAUGCGAUUAAUGGUAUUUGUCCUCUUGUUUUAUUUCUCUUAUAGUUGCUAAAAGAGUUAAAUGUUGAAGUAGAACCUUCCAUAUUAAUAUUUUUCGGAAAGAAAGAAAAAUCUGAGAAUUGUGACAAGAGCAUAGCAGAUUAUACAUGUUAUAGUCAUGACCAAAGAGUCUAAUGACAAGUAAGCUCUGUCUUGAUAAGAGCAACUAGCGGCACAAAACAACCAGUUAGAUCAGUUUUGCUGUGCAGCAUCAUUCGGUAGGAAGUAACCACACCGGGAAAUCACGACUCAACUGGUCCACAUCAAAGUCGGAAGCUAAUAGUUUGACGGCAAAGGACCUCAUCUUACCAUCUCUCAUGCUAUACACAAAUGUAUCAUAAGGCUUCCAAUCAUCAGGGACAAAGUAGAUAUGGUCACCUUCAACUCCAUGAUGUAGACCAGCAGGAAAGGACUUGCAGCCACCUAAGCCAACAAAGAUACAGUCACCAUUCAAGCUGUGAAUCUCAGUUAGUCCAUAAGGGUUUGUGUUAACAUCCAGUGCAAACACUUCAACUUUAAGAACUUCUCGGUCACGGUAAUUGUCGCUGUAGUGUCUGAUGAUUAAUAAUAGCUCUCCACGCCACACAACCAUAUUACAACUUAUUGCACCACCUCCCUGGUAGGGAUGAUGGAGAGGCAGCGCACUCAGACAACGCUUAACGCGAGAGACCAUGAGCCCACCAUUGUCCUCCCCAACUUCAAAAGCAAAGAGGCGUAUCUUAUAUCUUUGGAGCACAUACAGCUUCCCAAGGUAAAAAGUGAGAUCUCUUGGGCCAUCAAUGUCAACGCCAGCGCAAAUAUGCCAUGAAAUCAUCCCAGGCUGCCAGAGAGCAAGUUUUGAUGCACACUUGUGGUCAGAGGAAGCAGCUACAAUGUACUUGCCUCUUGAGUCAGGUGAAGCAGAUAGUGCCACAUUGCAUAGUGACAUUGUGUAUAUAUCAUUGACACGAAAAUAGACCUCACCAGAACCAUUGAUGAUGCGGAGGGUCUUACUGGAGUAAGCAGGAAAAUUGUAACGCAUAUGGCACAGCUGCGGUAGGCGGAUGACCUUGCGAGAGAAAACAUUCACCAGGAAGCAGUCACCAUCGGCAUCUCUGUUGUACUCGUCGCUGCGAUCCUUGUUAGGAGUCACACCUACAAGCCAUCCAUCAAAAUAACCCACACAUCGGAGAUCAUCAGCUGCAACUUCCUUAGGCACCGGCACGCACCGCACAGGCAUCAAAUCCCCCUUGUCUGAUAGGCUCGAGAACUUGAAACCAGGAAGCAUCAGCAGGGGCAGCGGCGGUGGCAGGACGUGGCCGUUCGCGCUGGCUCGCCAGUGACGGCACACGGACCGCAUCCUCGCACGGUCGGCAAGGCAUGGAAGGAAGUGGAGCACGAUUCCCAGAAUGUCCGGUUGAAGGCCUGCCCACAGUGACACCCCCGCGUCCAACUCCAACCUUGAUCUCUUCUUGGGCAUUCCGCCGAGCACCACACCUGCACGAGCCACCGGGUGUCACUGUCACGCUCCACAGCAAACACCCACCCACGGCCAGGAAAAUACGCAAUAACAUAUACUAGACGAUAACGAACACACAGUGUCUGUCGAAGCCGUGUUCCAUCGCCGCCGGUGACGGGCUCCGGGGGCAUCCUCGAUCCGACGAACGGGGAGGCAUUUCGUCGAACAGCUUGCCUGCACAACAGCCACCGGUGGAUCAGAUCAGAUCCAAGCCUCCGCACUGUGAGAUGCGCGAACAGGCCGAGGUGAGAUGGGUAGCUCUCACCUGAGUUUCCUCCGGCAGAAUCCAUGGCGACCGGAGGUUUCAUAGCGGCGGCCUAGGGGAAGGAGAUGGGGAGAGAGUCACCGAAGCGAAGGGGGUGAGCGGAUGGCUAGGCUUUUGUGGAUUGUUGGCUGCUGCGAUGAAUCAUGAAUGUCGAUGUUGGGCUGACCCUAUGGCCACUGUUAGCUGCUCGGUCCCACUAGUUAGCGUCUACUACAUUUUUAUCUUUUUUUUGCAAAAAUAGAACAUGUAUUUGUGUUUCUUUAGGCCUUAUUCGGUUACGCCUGAUUCAAUCCAGUCUAGAAAUGACAAGUAUAGUAAGAAAUUUAUGAUAGAUGUAAUGAGAGACCGGGAUUUAUUUCGGGCCGGAAACCAAUUUACUCAUGAUAGGGACAAUAAGAGACCGGGAAUCAAUCCACUAGUCAAGAGGUGUGGAACUAAUCCGGAUGUUUUGUUGUACCUAAUAUGAAUAAAUUGGUUCUCGAUCCGGAAUAAAUGCCGGUCUCCUUUUUACCUAUUAUAAAUUUCUUGUUAUACGUACCUAUCAUUCCUAGCAUGGAACGAAUCCCAACCGUGUAACCGAACAAGAUCUUGGUGGGUUCGAUUUUUUUUAAACUAGUAGAAUGCUGGUGCGUGCAAUGGUUCAAAACAAUUUUAAUCAUACACAUACAUACUUUAUUGGCAGAUAACCCACAAGUCUGAUAGGUCCUCGAGUACCAAGUGUGCCCGUGGGUUAGCGUUAGAACAGAGUGAUGUCUCAACCACAGUGACGGGGAACAGAAGUUAGAAGCAACAGUUACAUAGGCGAGUGUAUGGGGGAGCAUGAGAUUGAAGAAUUGAUUUAAUUUAGCGACUACUUAUAUAAUAUUUCAUAGAAAAAACCUUAUAAAUUCUUAACCAGUGAAUCGUUUCAAAAUUUGUCCACUCCUCCUCUGACCGUAACCCCUCCUCUCCUCUCUCAUCAUUUUUUCUUAACACUGCCGAAACUCGCGAGCAAGUGCACAUUCGCACGAUGCCUCUGCCUCCUGUGUCAUCGCCAUCGCUGCCCAAUCUCAUCGGCUAGCUCACGAGCUCCUUCUCCCUCCCUCCUGUCCCCCUAGCCGGUCACCUCCUUCUCCUACCUUCUCUUUCGCAAGCCAGUUGUGCCGAGUUUUCCAUCCAAAUGUCUUUCUCAUAUCUGGCGACCACCCCCCUCUUAACCACACAAGCCCUAUUUUGUCCCCACAAUCAACACCGCCCCACUAUCCUCUACCGUCAUUGCGUAUCUAGUGACAUUGCCCCCAUGUCGGCUUGCCGGAAGGUGUCAACAGCGUUGGUGAGGCUCUCCCAACCGUCCACCUCCCCAUCUCCCUUAUCUUUUCAAAGCCGAGGGCGCACCAGUGCCCCAUCCAACCAUUUUCCCCAUCUCCUAUCCACAAGAUCCGGUUUGCCCCCACCGUGCGCCAACACCAACCUACAUCCUUCCCCACUGCUCUAGCACCUCACCGCUCACCAGAAUGCCGCCUGCCACAGCCAUCCCUUUAAGCCAGCCCUCUCCCGCUCCCCUUACAUCCAUUCCCACCUCCACCCUGACUCGGAACCCUAAACCUAACUUAGCAUGCCAUCGCCAGAUGCAGGAGCUUCCUGGAGUUGGAGGAGAAAGAGUUGGGGUUGUUGGAGCAUGAAUCACGACAUAAAUCCAAAUGUCAUAAUUUUUUAGGCAAAAUAGUCACAAUUUCCAAUCGAUAGUCAUUUAAGGCAAAUGGUUCAAAAGCAGGAAGUAACCAAUGAAUGCACUCUUAUUAGCAAGGUGUAGGCAUUAUGGCAAAAGGUAGGUAACAACAACUACCUAGUUGAAGUGAUACUACCAGGCAGCAAGCGCAGCAAGCAAAUACGAAACAGCUUUAGAGCAUUGCAAAUGAGGAAGGCCAGAGCAUUACGGGAGAUACCAAUUCUACCAUAUAGGAAACUAGAUAGUGCCCCGCGCUUUGCUGCGGGAUAUAUGUUAGACAUUGAAGAAAUGAUGAAAUGAUUUGGAAUGAAAUAUUAUGAAAGUGAUUUGAGAAUGAUGAUUUAGCAUGGGUAUGUUUAGUUUUAGAAUGAAAUAAAUUGUAGACAUAAUUACCAUAUGUUUGUAUGUCGAGCUUUCUGUGCUUUAAUGGGUUGAUGCGGCAUGCUUGCACGUAGGUUUUAGGAGUGCUAAUAAAUACUAUGCUUGUUGAGUUUAGGUGUGUAGUGGACAUUAGCUUUAUAGAAAAAAGAGAUAAUAGUUUUUUCUUGGUGGACCCCAUCUUAUUCUCUACCUCCUGUUGUUUGGGACCACACACUAUUACCAAGUUGGGUUAGAUACAUUGAGGAUGUACUUAGUAAUUCUGUUCAGUUUAUGUACUCUCUGUCACAUAAUAGAAGGUUCCAUAACAACCCUAGGGUCCAAUUCACAUAGGAAUAAUUUCAUCCUAGGCCCCUCGAUUUAUCGCCCAAUCUGUUUCGUCCUUCAACCUAAAAAACAGAUACAACCCGUUCUCCAACUUACAAAACUAGUUAAAAAAAGAUCCCUCGGUAGUAUUGACACUGGUUUUAGAUGACGUGGUGCCUACGUGGUUCCUUUGACUUGUUCUUCGUCCUAUGGGGCAUUGACAUGGCGCUUACAUGGCAGUUUGAUCCGGAAAAAAUAGAAGUGCAAAAUUGUAAAACUAAAAAACUAAACAAAAUAUGAGGGACCCACAUGUCAGUCAAACAAAAUAAAAUAAAAAUAUUUGACCUACAUUUCCCUUAUCACUUUCUCAGAGAGGGAUAGCGCGGGGAGGCUGACGAGCCUCGCGGCGCUCUCUCCCUAGUCGUCGCGCCACCCACGCUCCUCAGUCCUCUCCUCUCUCCCCCCGAGUGCCGUACCACCCACGCUCCUCUCCUCUCUCCCGUCGGACGCCGCAUGUUGUUGUCUCCCUCGCCGCUGCGUCGCCCACGCUCCACUCCUUUCUCCUGCCAGACGCCAUGUGCGCUUUCUACCCCCACCGUCACGCCGUAAGUGCACCUCUCCUCUCUCCCGCCGGCCGCCGCGGCGCGCACGUUCCUCUCUUCCACCGCAAGCCGCGCAUGCUCCUCUCUUCCACCGCAAGCCACGCACUCUCCUCUCUCCCACCGCUGUGCCAUGCGCUUCUCCUCUCCUCUCUCUCCCGCCGCGAUGCCUCGUGCUGCUCCUCUCCCAUGCGUGGCGCUCAUCUCCGCCGCCGAGCUCGUACGCUCCAUGGCCGACCGUCGGAGAGGGUGAAGGGGACGGCAAAGUGGUUUGACGCCACCAACGGGGUUUGACGUCACCCGCGGAUCUCAUCCCAGCGGUGGUGGGAACCGUGGCUAUGGAGGCAGUGGCGGGUACAGCGAUGGAGGUUAUGAAGCUAAACCCGUGACGGUUUGCUUCGGUCGCCCCUGCUCCAUGUCGACGGCUUGCCGAUGUCGUCAGCGGCUACGGGCGCCGCCAACAUGUGCUCGAGGGCAUCGACUGCAUCCUGAAGCGCAAGGACUUCCUUGCACCGUGGACCGCAUUGAGCCGGAGCAACAGCCGCGUGAGCGCCUCACCCCACCCAUCGAUCGCCUGCUCCGACUGCCUAGGUGGGAGAGAGAGAGAGAGGAUAAAGAUAAGAGGGGAGUGAGAUGACAUGUGGAGCCACAUAGGCCCCAUCAUAUUUUUAUUUUUUAUGCAACUGACAUGCGGGCCCUAUGGUUUUUAUUAUUUUUUGUUAUAGAAUUGCCAUAUAAGCGUCACAUCAAUGCCAUAUGGGACGAAGACCUAGUGAAAUGAUACAUGGAGGUGCCACGUCAGCCAAAACUAGGGUUAAUACUGCCUAGGAACCUCAGUUGCAUUGUUUUGUAAGUUGGGGGACGUGUUGUAUCCGGUUUUCUGGGCUAAAGAUGAAAAUCUGACUAGACGACAAAUUGAGGGACCUAAAGUGAACUAAUUCCAUUCGCAUAACCCUAGGAAAACACCCAUUCACGGUGCUCACGGUGGGCGCCCAAAUAGAUUCCAUGGGCAUUCAAAUGUAAUCAUUCCUUCCUUAAAAAAAGGCAACCUACGAGGGGAUGUGACCUCUCCUAUGUCCAGAUUUAUUGUACUAAGAGAUAUCACAUCCCCUCCUAGGUUGCCUUUUUUUUUUUUUUGGACGAAGGGAGUGUACCCAUGAUUUUUAGAAAGAAAAUAAGUAUAUCUAUUAUGUAAUAUGUACGUGGAUAAAAAAUGAUAAAAGGAUAAGAAGCAAAUAAACCCGCCUUCCUAGGUUUGGCUCCCUCCUUUGAGGAUCCAAUUCGCACAAGUAUUAUGGCCAAAUUCUGCAAUUCGCGCGCAACACUAUAUGUACAACUGUCAAAGAUUUUCUUUUGCCCCUUUCUAUUUUUAAUACACAACCUUAAAAUGAUGGGCCCGCCCCUCCAUGACAUGAGAUUUUGCUGCUUGCAAUUGUAAUGAUCUUCCCGGGCAAAACUAAGAGGCAGAUAAAAAACGCACACUUCCCAAAUUAAAGAACACUGAUAUACUCUUUAAUUUCCCCUUCAUUUUAUGACAAGUGUGCUCCAAUGGUCCGAAAGUUAUAAGACAACUACGUUUUAAGUGGAUGGUUUCCAGCUAUGAAAAGAAUUGGCUAUGGUUUUAAGGCAGCCAGAGAUCACCAAUGGCUGAGAUGCUAUGCAUGUUGCUAUCUUCUAUAUAUUUGUUGGAAGUGAAGCAUUUCCACUUAUGAUUCACUCGGUCAUUGCAUCCAUCCUACUGUACAUUCUAUAUCUAUGUUUGGACUGGAAGGUCCCAGGAAUCGUUGUGCUGCAAUGACGCAAAGAACUCCGUCAGUUUUCUUCUGAUAGUAUACAAAGUUCUGUGGUUUCACCACUCCGCCAAUGAGAAUGUCGACUCGAGGGCCGUGGGAUGAUACCGGCGGUAAAGAAAUCGCAGUCUACUCCAGCUGCUCUGUGCAACUCUGCCGUGUGCUGGCUAGUUGCACAUUUUGUUACUGCGCUGCAUAAUUUCUUUUUACUCGAAUUAAUUAACAAGAUUCACUGUACAUACUCGAAGUGAGAACUGCUCCCUCCAUUUCAUAUUAUAAGUCAUGUUUGACUUUUUUUUCUAGUUAUGUUUUUUAUAAUUAUAGAAAAAUAUAGUAGUAUUAUCAACAUAAAACAAACGAUCUAUUAAAAUAUAUUUAAUGUGAGAUUUAAUGAAACUAGUUUAAUAUUUUAGAUGUGACUAAAUUUUUCUAUAAACUUACUUACACUUAACAAAGUUUGACUAGGGAAAAAGUCAAACGACUUAUAAUAUGAAACGAAGGAAGCAAAGAUUUUUUUUUUAAAUUAGAGAAGGGGUUUUUUUUUUACUUGGCAUGUACAUCCAACCGGACAUAUGCAGCCAUUUAAGCUGGGAACUUAGCCCCUUCGUUCAUAUAUAGAUUUGAACUCAGGACCUUAUUAUAAUACUCAUGUUAUUCAACCACUCGAAAUUAAUUUAUAUGUAAGUAUAUAUUGCACUAUAUCCGUGCCUGUUUGGAGCAACGAACUAGCUAAUUAAGAAACAGACUAAAAAGUGUAGUAUAUAUAUAUAUAUAUAUGUUGGGAAGGUUGUGCAUACUUGCACGAUGUUUAUAUUAGAUUUGCGCCAUGGAAGCCUAUUCUUUGUACACAGGAUGAUAGCACAGUUUGAUAUUUCAUUGGAAUCUUAAUUUGACCAAACAAACGGUUGAUCUCCA